UUGCUCUUGAAGACACCAACCUGCUAGUAAACCCCUGUCUUCGGUUUCUGCCACGAAUUCUGGUGGCAGAAUGGCUGACUCACCAGACACGAGAUCUGGCCUAAGUAUCCACAAGAAGCUUUGAUUGCUAUUUGCAAGUCCCCAAGCAAACUCAAUCAGUUGCUGGGGAGUCAUGACUGUGAUGCUUCCAUAAUUAACGUAAACAACAGAGUUGGGUUCUUUGGAAUCCAGCCAUUUGAGACACUCGGGCUCUUCCUUCCACAGAUUUGAUUCAAUCAACUGUAGUUCGCUAUCGUGAAUCUGAUCCAGAAGUAGCUGAAGAGGAGCGAUGGUGUAGAUUGGGGGAUACAUGGGAGCAAUUGCAUCCAAAACCUCAUGCUCUAAAGCGUCAAACGUAUUGAAAAUGAUGGCAGAAGCCUUGCGAGCCCUUUCAAGCUCACCCAUGGCAAAGUCCAGCAUCACAUCAUCUGGAUCGGUAGUCCGAAUGAAGCUCGGGAGAUCCUUCAAACGGAUACCUUUCAUGCCCGGUAUCCAAUCGACAACAGUAUCCAAAUACCCAUUUGUUAGAUAACUCUCAUCUGCAUAUCACAGAAGAAGGAAAAAAUGAAAAAUCAGAGUCGGUAGGAGACUGGGAUUUGAAAAACUUGUAUUCAAAGCCGAACUUGGAAUAAUACCUUUGAGUGGUGUAAAACCCUUGUCGAUGAGACUGCGAUACUGCACAUAGGCCAUGAAGCCACAAGCACUAGCUGUCCAUAAAAGAAGGUCGGGAAUGCCGAGUUCUUGAGCAGCGUCUAAAGUGAAGCUCAUGAUAGCGUCAGAAAAUAUGCAAGUGACGGGAGGACCGUCGUGGUUGAGUUUGGCGAGAAGGCGUCUAAAGGGAGCCAAGCAGUUCUUUUUGGUGGAUACACAGAGGGAAGGAAUGUCUUGGGUUGCGUCGACGUCGGACGGGGGGAGACCAUCGGGAAUGGUUUCGAACUGAAAGGUGGGGAGACCACUGAGGCAGUUGGGGCCCUGGGCAUUGAGUAAGCGUGUGUGGUUGAACUCUGUGUUGACAAAGGUGAUACGAAAACCUCUGCAAUGGAGGAGCUUUGCUAGUUUUAGCAUAGGAUUGAUAUGGCCCUGAGCAGGGUAUGGAAUACAAACUGCAUGAGGCUUCUCCGAACCCAUUUUUGCACUGGGAUUGGGAUGCCCUCCCGAUACACUGAGCUGGAAAUAUUUUGGUAUCAUUCCCGUGCUGCAGUAGCGUCACCCACACUCUUUAUCUUCGAAUCAGAGUCAACAGGAAGGAUUAAUGUAUGCAAUAUCCCUGAUGGAAACAUUACUAUUUUUAGUUGGCUGCAAUUGAUUUUUAAUUUAUUAUUAUUCAUGUUAAAGGAAAAGCCCGCACCGGAGCCUGGUGACUUAUGUUUCAUUUUUCUUGUAACAAUUAAGUGACCGCUAUUCAUGAAAAGUACGAGAAAGAACGUGACAAACUAGGAUCCUGGCGUGAGCCUUUACCAUCUUCUUAAGAGAAUAAUGAACCACCUAUAUAUGCAUCACCAUUUGUGGAAGCUGAUGCUCUGUUUAAAAAUUUUCGACGGCUGCCCUCGUAUCAAUAUAUUGCGCUGGCAUGAGUCCAAAGCAUAUUUAUAUUUCCUAGUUAAAAUAUGAUGAUAAUUAUUUUCAAAACAAAUCUAUUUUCAAAUGCAAAAAAUUAAUGAAGAUUACUAACUUGCCCAUAGAACAACACAGUAUAUCUAUCCCAAUGACGGUAAACAUCUCCGAUCCGUCAGUCAGGAACAAGGCAUCUACCCUUCCACCUACGUUCGUAAUUACACCAUUUCGUUUUGUUUUUGUCUUUUAGUGAAACAUUAAGGUCAAAGAUAGCGUGUAUAUGUAGUUUUGUACUUCACGAGGACUCCUUCCAAGGUCCAUAUACCGAGAAAUCCUACGUCACUUUCCUAAAAACGAGGGGAAAAAUGGAACUCGGAGAACUCCGCAGCUGCCAAACUAAAUCAAAGGACUAAGUUAUGGUCCACGGAUUUAAUACUGAUACGAACGUUAUGAUCAUGCACCCUCAUAUUAUGAUCUUCAUCCAGCUCAUCCCUAAUGGGUCUCCUCCAAAUAUUGGCUUCAAACUUCUGUAACUGUCUUGCAUGGAUGAAUGAAAGCCAUGUUGACGGUAGAGGAAACGCAGUCAAGAAUUGACGAGCAGGAAACUCUUGCCACGUGGAAUGAUAGCAUCAGCGCGGAUUGCCUUGAAUAGUUGUGUGCAUCCUUACUCCUUACGCAUCAUCGUCGAUCGACUAUCUAAUAUUUAUUUUCCCUACAAAUUAAGCGGUUGAUGGGUGACAAUUGAACUACACUGCAGGCCCCGCAUAAGAAUAAAUUGAUGAUAUGGCCCUUCUUUUUUUACAAUAUCUUCUGAGUUCUGGCUUGACAUCGAAGUUGAAACAGAGUAAUAAAUUGAAUGGAUAACUUGUUGAUCACUCCAACAAACAAAAAGAAAAGAAAAGAAAACACAUUACCCCACAAAAUAAUAUAAGAGAAUUACACUACAGGGCGAUGGCCUAAUAAAAAAUAUUCUUAUUGAAAAUAUUAAUUACACAUGAAUAAAUGUCAAUAUAUAUAUAUAUAUAUAUAUAUAUAUAUAUAUAUAUAUAUAUAUAUAUAUAUAUAUAUAUAUAUAUAUAUAUAUUAUAUUUUCAUAUAUGUUGAGGCCUCGCGUCCCUGGCGAUUCACGUAGUUGCUGCGAAAUGGAUGGACGCACGAUUUCAACCAAUAUAGAUUCCUGGUUCAAUCGUUCCUGCAAAAGGCGUCCGGACAGGAUGUCCGAACACACCUUCCGAUGAUUUUGUCAGCCAUGGAAAGAGAGAUAAAUCAGUUGGCCUUUUCUAGGUAUCUCCAGCUUACCUUCCUCUUUGUGUGAAGGUUUUUAUAUAUAGUACCAGAAGCUUUGUCUCCCUCUUUAAUGGUAGAGAGAUAUUUUGGCUUGUCAUGAUGCUUUUAGGUGGUGGCAGGGCCAUCAUCACUCAUAGGGCGGCUGCCAGAGAAUGUGGGAGGCACCGCAGCUUGUCAGAGAUCGUGGGAAGUGACUUGCCGUCACUUCAUUCCUGUCAUCUCAUUCUGCAAGUGGCGGAAUGUGGGUCAUGACAGGCUGUUGUGAUGACGUGCAAGAUUUGCUUACUUCAGUCAAUGAUCCGGACGAACAUAUCCGGAUAGUAUAUGUCGGUCGUCCGGAUGCGAUAUGUCGAUUGUCCGGAUGUUAUGGUUGUGAGUGUUGUGUGCCUCUCCUUGAGGGAGUCCGGAUAGGAGAAGCGCGCCAUGUAUACUCUUGGGGAAAUUCGGAUGAGAUUGAUCCAGAUGAGAAUGUGUGCCACGUGUCAUCAGGAGAUGUGUGCCACGUGUUGGGGGGUCCCUACAAUAUAUAUAUACAAAAAGGAAAAACUUGUGCUAAAUUUACAUGAUAUUUAUACUUAGAUAUAAAAGACUUGUCCUACUAUGCCUAUUAUGAAUAUAUUUAAGUAUUUUCUUUCAAUUUCUUUAUUUAUUUUUUAUAUCACUAAAAAUAUUACAUACUAAUAUGUAUAAAUAUCAAAUAUAAUUUUUUUUUUAAUAUUUUCACAUAUAUACAAGAUAUUUGUACUAAAUGUAUAAGAGAAGAUAUAAGUUAUAAUGGAUUAUGCACGUUUACCUAUUGUAAAUAUAUUUUCGUAUUUUUAUGGAUAUUAAUAAAAAUGUGAAAAUGUUUUAUAUAUUUAAUAUAUAUAAUUGUCUUGUAUAUGUGUAAACAUAUAAAAAUAAUAAUUAUAUUUGUAUAAAGUUGUAUUUUUUACAUGCGUUCUUACUUGAUAGUGAGACUUGGUUUUUAUUUAGGAAGAAUUAUCUUUUGGGGGUAGAUGGGCCCCCAAAUUAACAAAAAGUCUAUAUAACUCUUCAAAUUGAGUUGAAGGAUAUGAAAUAGUAACGGACAAAUAUACCCUUUAAGAACAUAUAUAAAAUAUUUUAUAAAAUUAAGUUAAAUAAUUUUUUUUCAAUAAUUUUUUUUUCAAAGAUACUAAAUUAAAUAAAAGUAGUUUUCAAAAAUAUUAAAUUAAAUAUUUUUUUUCAAAAAUAUUAAAUUAAAUUAAAGUAUUUAAAAAAAUAUUAAAUUAAUUUUUUUUAAAUAUUAAAUUAAAUAAAUUUAUUUUUAAAAAAUAUUAAAUUAAAUAAAAGUAUUAAAUUACAUAAAAGUAUUUUUUUUAAAUAUUAAAUUAAAUAAAAGUAUUUUUUAAAAAUAUUAAUUUUUUUUCUCAAAAUCAACAAAGGGCAUUUUUGGAAAUAUUGAAGGAUGAUAUCCUUCAACUCAAUUUCCCUACUUUCAUUGGGUCUUGGGCUCAAUUUGAAGAGGUACAUGGACCUUUUGUUAAUUUGGGGGCCCAUCUACCCCCAAAACAUAAUUGUCCCUUUUAUUUAUGUAAAAAUUAAUUUUUAAAAUUUUGAUUUAGAGUUGUCACUUUGUAGACCCCCAUUUUGGGAGUCAUUCUUGCAGUCGAUGCUUGACAAGUGUCACCAUCUCGCAUGGCCACGUGUCACUCCCGGAUUAGUCAAUGUGGGAUCAAAAUAGUGGAAUUGAAGAAGCAAUCAGAAUAAGACACCUGUCAAGAGGAUAUUCUAAAAUCUUUAGGCAGUUAGAGAUAUUUUUUUGGAAGGGGGUCCCGCAGACCGUCAAGGGGCACAGAUGAGAGAGAAGGAAAGUGGUUGCAGAAGGAGUGUUGUAGGAAAGGUGGCUGCGACAGAGAUUGUUGAAAAGGCAAAUCCGGAAAAGGGGGGAGGGGACAACAUUGAGAGGGACAUAUGGGAGAAAAAGAGAAGAUCCGAAGAGGAGAAAGGAAGGAAAAGAAAAUCCGAGAAAGGAAAAGAAAAAUUGGGGGGGGGGAGGGGGGGGUGGUUUCGGAAAAAGGAGGAGAGAUCCAGAGGAGAGUUUGAGCUUGGAGGGCAAGCAGGGAGCAAAAUUCAUUGAGAGAACGAAAACUUGAUUCUCUUUGCUUGAGGAACCAGGUAUGUAUACCACCUUCCCCCAUCUCUCUUUAUUCACUGCUUUUCCUUGACAUUAUGCUGUUUGGGGUGGAUACUGAAGGCCACUGGUUUGUUUGUUGAGAGAUAAUCCUGCAUUUGUGUUUGCCAUUGUUGAUCUUAAUUUACUCUGCCCCUAUUGUGAUUAUGAAAUGCCCCGGAAUCAUGCAUGUGGUUGCAUUUGAUAUGGUUUACCCACCUGCUCAGAAGAUUCAUGGAUGAUUCAUGAAAUGGAUUUUCUGAGAUUUUUCUUUAUUUAUUCGUCUUCUUUCAUACUCUGUUUCUCUACUUCCCCUGUUUCUUGAUAUCCAUCCAUGGUAUGCAUCCAUUUUCUCAUCCCUGCUCGAAAGAGAUCCUAGAAAACCUAAAGUAGUUGUCAUGGCAGCAAAGCUCACCUCAUCAGCAUCCCCAUACCCAUUCGUUCAUCUAUCCACCUCUCUCUCUAGGUCGUCAUACCCAUUUCCUCACUCAAGCUUGCAAGAAUCAAGCAUCCUCCACCGCACCUAUCUUCCUCUCAUUCAUUCUCCAUCCCACUCUCUCGCUUACAUGGAGUCUCAUGGGUGCAUGCUAUCCUUCACUCUUUCGCAUACCCAUUAAAACCACUCACCCAAGCCUCCAUAUCCAUACGGCCCACCAAACCCGUUUCCCUCUCUAAUCUUUCACCUACACCCGGAAUCCUCCCCGCCGCCAUUCCAUCCGGGUGUCUCACACCCGGAAUUCCUCUUCGCCGCCAUUCCAUCCGGGUGUCCUACACCCGGAAUCCUCUCCGCCGUCAUUCCAUCCGGGUGUCUCACAUCCGGAAUUCUUUCCCCGAUGACAUUCCACCCGGACAUCUCACAUCCGGAAUCCUCCCUCCGCCAACAUUCCACCCAGACAUAUCACAUCCGGAAUCCUUCCCGGCCAACGUUCUACCUUAUCUGGAUGUCUCACAUCCGGAUCUGAAGGUCAAUUUCUUUCCACCUCGUGACCUUAAGCAUGUCCACCUGUGCAUGGCCGCCUUCCCCAAGUCCAACUAUGUAAAUGUUUUCUCUAAUUCAGGUUGUUUCAAAAUAAUUUCAAAUCAUCAAAAUUUUCUAUCCUUCAUCCUUAGCAUUUUUCUUCAGGUUUCAAAGGUCCACUUUUCAGUAUAACUUUGCCACCAUUUCUUCUUUCCGGUAGGCAAUCUUCACAAUCCCAUGAUUUUAAAAUGUUUUAAAGUAAGCAAAGAAUCAAAUUCUGUAACUCCGAACAAUGGAAUUUACGGAUUUGGUCCAUGCAAAAAUGAACUGGGCUUUGGUGGGGGCCCUACAUAUGUGACUUCACGACUAAUUGAUUGUUUGACUGAUUCAUUUACCAUGUAUGAUUGAUUUAUUCUGUUCCUUGAUAUGCGCGUAAUUAUAUAUAUUCAUUGUUCACUAACCUUGCUUCUUUAUAGCGCUUUAUUGGAUCGCUGCCCAGGUACGCAUCCAUAUCCACUUUGGUAAUUUUAUAUGCAUGUUUUGAUUUUCAUAUGUGCAUGAUAGUUCCGGGUAUUCAUUGAUUUCCUCAUCAAUUGCCAUGUCAGCUUCAUUUUAUUAGUAGAGACCCGUUUUUAGGGACUUAGAGGGGUGCUACGGUCUUUACCGUACCUUCCCGAUAAGUAACUUGACCCCCGAACCCGAUCUGAUUUUUCGUAGACCAACCUUUUUCAAAACAAGGAGUCACACUUAGAGUUUUUAUUUCUUAUUUUGUUUACCCUUUAAAAAUAAAACAAAAAUAAGUGGUUACUCCAAGUCAUUUUUUUUAACCAAUUAAAUCAUUGUUCAAAAUAAAAAUCGAGCUCACCAUUCGAGUGGGAAACGCAUUGAGCCGAAAUACGGGGUCCACACACUUAUUUUUGUUUCAUUUGUAAAAAAAAAAAAAAAAAAAAGAAAGUAUUAAGUGUGACUCUUAAAAACAAAAUAUAGGUUUAUGAAAAAUCAAGUUUCGAUUCGAACAUCAAGUUAUCUAUCAAAAGAGUACUAUGAUAACCAAAUAUUUUGCUAAAAAAAGAAUUAGGUCGUGUAACACUCCUCUAAACACUAAAAAUAGACUUUUACUAAUCAAGUUAAGGUAAAAAUAACGAUUAACUAAUUAAUCAAUAUACACCAAGAAUUGAAAGUCAAAGAAUAAAAACAAACCAUACAUGAAAAUAAAAAAAUAAGUAGGUAAACAAGAUAAGAUUGGGAAAGUACCUUAGCAUGAACGACCAAGCAUUUCAUAGGAAAUAUGGUGAGUGCAUAGUAACAAACACAAAAUAAUCUUAUGUAUCACAAUAGUAAGACGUGAGCGAUUAUCAUCCAAUAAAUAUAAAGCAUUUAGAAUCAAAAAUAAAAAUGGAGAAUAUCUCAUAUAUUAGUCCCACCGAUAUCCAAUUUACUUGGCAUGAAUUUAUUCUAUAAACUUCAUUUUCCUAAUAAACAUGAAGAAAGAAUCAGGGAAAUAUGAGGAAAUUUCAUUAUUUUUUUGAAAUAUAUAAUUUUUUUCAUGUUAUUAAAAAAUCAAGAGAAUCAAGAUAUUAUUGAAAAUAAGAGAAAAUAAUAUUUAGAAUGCAUGCCCAAAAAAAGUGGCAAAUUUUAUUGCCUAAAGAUAUCUAGGAUAAAAUUUAAAAGUGGUGACUAUUUCAGUUGAAAAUAGAUUUGAAAAUUUAAUUUAAAAACUGUAAACUCUCACAAAACGGAGGAGUGUCACCGGAAGAGAAGAGUGGAAGCGCUGAAGGUGGCCAAGCAAGCCGGGCAGAAGUGGGCCCCAGGGUGCAAGGUAUCGGUGAUUGUAGCCUCAGGGAAAAGUGGGACGACAAUUUUAAAAAAUAAUUUCUAAAUUACCGUAAAAAAAUAAUUUAUAAGUGAAAAAUCGUCUCUUUAAGAGACGAUUUUAAAAAAAUAAAAAUAUAAAAUAAAUCAAAAUGAGAAAUCAUCUUUUAAAAAAAUAAUUUCAAUAUAUAAAUAUAUAUAUAUAUAUAUAUGAAAAAUUCUCACUUAAAAGAAAAGAAAAAAAGAAUAAAGUGGGAAAUCCUCUCUUCAAAAUAUGAUUUCCAUACUUUUAAAAGUGAGAACAUCUUCAUGUUUAAAUAUAAUAAGUUUAAAUAUAAAUAAUUUAUUAUUUAAGUAUAUUUUUUCAAUUUCAAUCAUAAAUUGAAAUUUAAUAGUUUUUAAUUAAAUUUAAAAAUAAAAAAAAAUUAUAAUUGAAAUCUUAGUUAUUAAUUGCCGCUAAAAAAUAUACUAUUAUUUCAUUAAAGAUAAAUUUAUUAUAAUACAAAUAAAUUAAUAUCUUAAAAAAUAACAAAUUAAAUAUCUUAAAUUAAUAAAUUAUAUAAUUUUAUAUAUUAUUUAUAUAUUAUAUAAGUUUAUUAUUUUAAUAUUUUUAAUUUAUUAAUAAAUAAAAUAUUCAUUUAUAAUAUUUUUUAUUUAUCAAUUUAUGUUUGUUGAAGUAAUACUAGAUUUUUAAAUUUAAAUAUAAAUAAUUUAUUAUUUAAGUAUAUUUUUAAAUUUUAAUCAUAAAUUUUAAUUUAAUAAUUUUUAAUUAAAUUUUAAAUUAAAAAAAAUAAUUAACUAAAAUCUCAAUUGGCAACUGUAACUUUAAUUUAAAAUGAAAUCGUAGUUGAUAACUACGGCUUUAGUUCAAAAAAUGAAGACGCAGUUGAUAACUACGGUUUUAACUAAAAUAAUAAAAAAAAAUAUUUUUUUAAUAAUAUAAUAUUUACGUGCCACUAAAAAACAAUUUAAGUAUUAGUUAGAUGUUAUAAUUUUUUUUUUUAAAGGGUCAUUUUGACCCAAAACUCUAUUUUUAAAAUCUGGUUUUCAAAACAAUCAUGGAGGAUGAUGAGUUGUUCUCCAAAGACGUUCAAAUAAAUGUAUUUAUAAUUUAGAAAAUGGUAAAAAAAAAAAAACAAAAUGCAAGAAAAAUAAUAAAGAAAAGAAAAGUUUGACGAUGAUAAAAAGUCACCCCUAGGCUCUUAAUGUCAUUAGCUGUAAACAUAGAGUUUUUGAUUUUUCACAGCGAAAGACAGAUCCGCACUCAACCAGAUUAAUUUCAAACGCGCUAUUGAGUAUUGAGCUGGCAUUUGCUUGCUUUUCGCCUUUUCCCUUCCUUCUCGGCACUUUCAUUCAUACCCUCUCCCUCGCUCCUCUCACGCUGUUGGUCACACUCUCCCCACUGCCUAUUUUACUAUAUAUAUGAAACCCCCAAUUCAUCUUCUCCUCACUCCAAACCCCCACCAAAGCCAUCUCUACAGCUUAGCUUCACUGCACUCUCUUAAGUCCUAACUACCAUGGCCUCUUUCGUUCCUACUCAAUGCCUUUUACAACUCCUCUUUGUGGCUUCUCUGCUUCCAUUCAUCUCAGCAGCCAGGAGACUUGCUCAAGACCAGCAACCUCUGCUUCUUCAAUACCACAAUGGCCCUCUUCUUUCCGGAAAAAUCUCCAUUAAUCUCAUCUGGUACGGAAAGUUCAAGCCUUCCCAACGCGCCAUUGUUUCUGAUUUCAUUACCUCCCUCUCUUCCUCCAAAACCACCCCCCACCAACCCUCUGUUGCGGCGUGGUGGAAUACCAUCGACAAAUACUACCUCCUCAUUAAGUCCAAGAAAUCCACCUCCCUCGGUCUCUCCCUAGGCACCCAAAUCCUCGACGAGAACUACUCUUUGGGUAAAUCACUGACCAGUCGAAAUCUCAAACAGUUGGCAGCAAAGGGGCAGCAGAGCAACGCCAUUAACGUAGUCUUGACAUCUUCUGAUGUAGCCGUUGAAGGGUUCUGCUCCAGCAGGUGCGGAACACAUGGGUCUUCUCCCAGCUCCAAGACUGCUAAGGUUAAUGGCAAGAUCUCCAAGUUCGCAUACAUCUGGGUGGGUAACUCCGAGACUCAGUGCACAGGUCAAUGUGCAUGGCCAUUCCACCAGCCCAUUUACGGACCCCAGAGUCCACCCCUGUCCGCACCCAACAACGAUGUGGGUAUGGAAGGUAUAGUUAUGAACCUGGCUAGCCUCUUGGCUGGAACUGUUACGAACCCCUUUGGAAAUGGAUACUACCAAGGUUCCGCAGAGGCUCCCCUGGAGGCUGCAUCGGCCUGCCCUGGGAUUUAUGGGAAGGGCGCGUACCCUGGCUAUGCCGGAAAGCUGUUGGAGGAUCCCACCACAGGUGCUAGCUAUAAUGCCAAUGGUGUGAAUGGGAGGAAGUACCUGCUUCCUGCAUUGCUUGAUCCUUCAACUUCCACCUGUUCUACUCUGGUCUGAUAGACUGAUACUACUAUGCUUCUCUAAAUUCAUUUAGUUGUAUAGCACGGAGACGAUAACCGAUUCUUUGUUUGUAUUUGAUUAAUUACCAUUAUGUAUUCUUUUUCCCGUCUGAAUAAAUGAAAUUCCAAUGUUUUCUUUCAUAUCCAACCAGUUCAGCCUUCCUCUGAUAUUUUUUCUUCACAUCCCAAUCCCAACAAAAGCCGCACUGCGCCCUCCUCUGCUAUUCAAACUCGUAUGUGGUCAAAAUCAUUAAUGAGAUCUACCAUUGGAGAAAGCUUUAUUAUAAUAAGGAAAAUUUUAAGCAAAACCUUUAGGACAUGGAAUGAUCUGCUGCUUUUCUCGUCCUACAUUUUUAAUUUAAGACUUAAAUUUCCAACCUCGUCUACAUGCCAUCAUUAUUUAUUCAGAAGUUGCAAUUGAAGAAACGUUUAUAGCACGUUUUGCAGGAAUAUUAUUAAUAAUUUAAGUAUGUAACAUUCUCAAAAGGCAGUCUAAGAAGAUGUAUACUUCCAACCUUGGAUUUUGUCACAAUUAUUCAUGGCCCAGCCUCCACGUGAAAUUCUAAUAGAUGUUCAAUAAUUCAAACGGAAAUGUGCAAUAGAAUAUGUCAACCCUUCAAUGUGAGGAAGGUUUGGCUAAAAUUUUAGCUUAAAUUAAGAUUUUAGAGAAUAUAACAUCAUAAUUUUUUUUCAUGUUUGUCGUAAGGAAGAAAUAAAAAGGGCCUUAUCACGUUGGUGAUAUAAAUUUUCUAAUUUAUUUCAAUGAUUUCUUUUUUCUCAUGAAAAAAAAAAUAAAAAUCCUCAUAAUGAAUGCAAGUUGGUUUUCGAGAUAAAAAUAUGUUGGCUAGAUGUGUAAUAUAUGAAAAAUUAGAAAAUAAAAUAUUCAACAAAUUUUCUCCUGUUAAUUCAACAUUUCUCAAUAUUUUUAUAAAUUUAAAAUUAUUACUUUUAAAAUAUUAUUUAUAAAUUAAUUUAAAAUAUUUAGUAUUAUUAUUCUAUAACAAAAUGACCUAUUGAUUUUUCUUUAACUUUUUAAUAUCUAAUAAAAAUAAAAUAUUAAAUCAACAAACUAUUUAAUACUUAAUAUUAUUAAAUACUAUUUAAUUCUAAAUUCUAUUUAAAAUUAACUAAAAAGAAAAAGAAAAUAUCAUCUUAAUCAUGUCAUAUCAAUUCUCAAAAUUAGAGUUUGAGGGCUUAAUUUUUUUAACCUGGCAUCAUUUGGAUUGAUACAACUUUUAUAAUAAAUAAAUUUUUGCCAAAAAGAGUACAUAUAAAAAUAAUUUAAUUUCACACAUAAAGAAUAUUGUGGGGUCUAGGUCUCUUUGUAAAAAGUUACUUUAUAAAAGUAUUUUCUUAACUUAAUUUAUAGAAAAAGCUCCUAAAUCAUGAAUCUCUCAUUUUUCAUAUGUUUAAUAAAAAAUUUUUAUAAAAUUUCUUGAAUUGUUUGAAACAUAUGCUAUAUGAUUUCAAUGAUAUUUCAAGUAAAACCUUGAUCAACUAACUUUCUAGAAGACAUAAAAUUUUUAGAAAUCUAGAACUUUAGGAGUAGCAAUAACAAAGAUAUUUAAGUGGCAUACAAGUCAGAUUGUUUUUGAGGAGUUUCAAACUUCAAAUCAUAACCGGUCCAAAUGUUAUACAUUUGAGCAGGAAACAGAAAGACUGUCACUAAUUUGGGGUGUUAGUUUAGCCAAAUUAAGCUAGGGCCAUAAGAUGUUUGGGACCACCUCGAUUUUAAGUCAUUUUGCCAACAACUAUUAAGGCAUUAACAACUAACUAGGCAGGCCGGACCCUUAUCCAUUUCUAUAAAAGACAUCAUCUGUAUGGCUACCGACCUAAAUUGAUUGCAUGCCAAAUGAACAAAUUUCAUACCCAAUAAUCACAUGUAACUUCUAAUUAGCUGAGUGUAAUUGUUUUGUCAUUAAAAUUGCUGUCCCGGUCCCAUCACAUGGUGCGAAUACAUCGUGAUUUGUUAACUUAAUUGGAAAUAUUACAAUCCAAACAACUAAGAUUGUGGGUAUUAAUGGAAAAUCCAAUAUUGCAAUGUUGAUGGUUGCAACUUGCAGCUUGGAUCUUAUACUUAUAGUCUCACACUCGUUUCACACGUAGUCGAUAUGAUCAUGAAUAACGGGGUCCAUCCCCGAGGGCCCCGUGAUAACAACAGAGCACUGAGCACCUAAAAAUUAAAAAUGGUGUGCAUGUAGCCGCCGCAAGGAAAACCAUGCCAGUGUUUGGAAUAAUUUUGGCUUUUGUGUCUUUCAAGCUAGCCGCUUCUCCAGAGAGAUGAAAGCACGGUAUCGAUCGAAUCAAGUGGAUCAGGGCCCGGAGUUUUAAAUGGCGGGUCGGCGCACACUGAUGUUUUGAGCCAUCUAAAACCAUGAGCAUAUUGAUUCCUUGAGUUAUUUAGAAAAUGGGGAUGUGCUUUCAGCGUAUACAAACUCACCUGUGACUAUCUUACUCUAAAGCAAAUAAUCACGGACGAGUGCUAACCCUAGGAUCGUUAUCUUCACAUGCAAGGAUUACCUACUUGUUAUUCCCCCUGUCCCUUGACUUUGGGUUUUAUAUUUUUGGACGAUCAGAAAGAAGGAAACACCUACCCUUGAUAACCACGUCAUCAGGCACAACCUGGCGAAAACUGCCACGCGUUUGACACUAAAAGUGGUCAAUUAAUCAACGCGGCACGAUUUCAAUGUUUCUUCCAUCACUCCCUUUUGGCCAGCGCCACACGCGCACUCCAUGAUGACACCACCUUUCUAUGACUAUAUAAGUAUCGCAACAGUCGACUCUUCCUUCACACUCAUUCCUCACCAAUCCAGCUUUUCACACUCUCUGCAUCACCUUCACCCCACUACUUUACCUUCUCAAUGACUUCUACUUACCAUUUCUCCAUCUUUGUUUCACUUCUCCUACUCUCCUGCCUUCCCAACCUCACCUCCGCCACACCUCGAAAACUCUUCUCUCUUGUUCAAGAGCAACCUCUCAUUCUCAAGUACCACAACGGGCCACUCCUUAAGGGCAACAUCACCCUCAAUCUCGUUUGGUACGGAAACUUCUCCCCCAUCCAACGCUCCAUACUCGUCGACUUCCUCCAGUCUCUCAAUUCCCACACCACCACGCCCCACUCCGUCUCAUCGUGGUGGCAGACCAUCCAGAAGUACAAAGGAGUCUCCUGCACCCUCGCCGUUGGGAAUCAGAUCCUCGAUGAAGACUACUCUCUAGGGAAGUCAUUGCGAAGUUCAGACAUCAUUUCCUUGGCUUCUAGAUCAAACCAAAGGAGCGAAAUAACCGUGGUGUUCACAUCGGCAGACGUGGCGGUAGAAGGGUUCUUCAUGAGCCGGUGCGGGACUCACGGGUCAACUCAGAGUAAGUGGGCCUACGCGUGGGUGGGUAACUCGGAGACUCAGUGUCCGGGUCAGUGCGCAUGGCCAUUGCACCAGCCCAUGUAUGGACCACAGACUCCGCCGCUGGUGUCUCCAAACGGGGACGUGGGAAUUGACGGAAUGGUGAUCAAUUUAGCGACUGUUUUGGCGGGAACGGUGACUAAUCCGUUUGAUAACGGCUACUUUCAAGGAUCGGCUAGCGCGCCGUUAGAGGCGGUGACGGCUUGUACAGGUAUAUUCGGGACAGGAGCUUAUCCAGGAUAUCCCGGCGAAGUUCUGGCGGAUGGAACGACUGGGGCUAGCUAUAAUGCUGUUGGGGUGGAUGGGCGUAAAUACUUAUUGCCGGCGAUGUGGGACCCUCAAACCUCCACCUGCAAGACAUUAGUCUGAAGCCUGAACCUAAUGGAUGAUUUGUGUUCUGUGUGGUACCAGCAAUUGUUUGUUUGGAGGAGCUUUGUACUCCCAGCUUUGAAGUUUGUUCUUUUUUUUCAUCAACCUUAUCAUAUGUAAAUGUUUAUGUAUCAUUAAUUAAAUUUGUUUCAUUAGUCAACCAAUCCUCUGUCUCCUUUGCCUUCUAAAAAGUUUCAAAUUUUUUCUAACAAUUUUGGGUCAUUAGGUUUUGGUGGAAGUUUCAAGUUGACUAACCAGUUAGCUUCUGGAUUUAACUUAACCCCAUAUUAAGCUGAGGAACCAAUCUGGUUUUAGCACAUGUGCAUUGAUUGGUAUUCUUUAUAAUGGAAUCUAACUGCUUUCUUUUUUACCCCAUGAGAAGAUUUCACCAUAUUGUCCUCCAUUCUUGCACACAACCGUAUCAUCUGACUGAAUUUUCUAUGAAAUAAUAAUUAUUUUGGUUUUUUUUUUUUUCAUUUUUCUUUUUUCUAACACAUAUAAAGUAAAAAAAGAAAAAAUUAUUAUUAAAAUAAAUUACAAAAUUUAUUUACAAUAGAAUUAAAUUAAAAAAAUUAAAGAGAUAGGACGAAACCGGAAAUUCUCAUAUUUGUUUCAUUCGAAUCUUUUUAGGGUAGAGGAAAAUAUGUUUAAACGAUGGAAUGGGAUUGGGAUAGAGUAACAAUUCGAAUCCACCUCGCUAUCAUUCCUGGAUGUUUGAGCAAUGGGUCUGGUCGAGCAGCCCGACCUGUGGACACUGGGAUCCUGGAGCACAGCGCUGUCCUUCUAGUUAAUAAGUUGGAAUCAUGGUUCGACUUGGUUUCUGUUCACGUCGUAGCCAUUUGCGAUUUGCUCAGUAACACUGGUGACUUAAUCAUGGGCCGUGGGCUGCUUUCAAGACUUGGGCUUUUCAAUUGGAUUCGGCCCAAUUGGGUUUGGACUCAGGUGAUGAAUGAGCCGGCCCAAUCUGGAAAAUGUUGCAUUUAAAGUUUGGACCAUAUUAUCUGUUGGAAGGAAGUUCUGAUUUCUUAAAAUUUUUAUGUUUUUGAAGGUUUAAGGAGUGAGGACUUGAGUGUGGAUUCAUCCCAGAGCAUAGUUUGAUGGAAUGGCUGUGUACAUUCGCCUGAUUCUUUGUAAUAUUAUGUAAAAAAAAAAAUUGAGAUUAAAGAAAAAGUGAAAAACACAUAUGACCAAGCUGAGGCGCUGAAAAGAAAAAAGAAACAAGGCUUUUUAAGGCAGAAGACGGUGAUCUCCUCUCAGUUUCCAGUUUCCGCCAUCCACAGCCAAAUCUCAUGGAUCCCCAUCAACACCAACCCAUUGGACAAGCAGACGAAACCUCACCCCCUCCCUCCAACACCGCUACCACUUCAUGCCGCUGCUGCGGCGGCCCCACCACAUGCCCACCUCCACCGGCAUGGUCCGACAUCUCUCCGCCACCCCCCUACCGCCCCAUCCGCGCCCCCGCCAUCAACCUUCCUCCUUCCAACUCUCAACAAGCUAUCAUCCUAGCCCCCGUUCCUCAAGCCCAGAAGACCCCCGUUGUCUCUCCGCCCUAUCUUUUCCAAAUCCCCGUCAAGCGAAUCCAGACCAGACGACAUUCGCCAUUUCCAUGACUCCGAUUCCGGGAAGAACUUCUUAGGUUUCGUCGUUUCCCUUAGCGAAUCCAUUCGCUCCCACAAAAUUUCCGACCCUUGCCACCAAUCACCAAUCCUCAAUUCUAUUCUCUCCAUCCUUCAAUCUCUAAUCGACUGGGUCGACGAAAUACCUCCCGUUCAACAAUCUUCCCGUUACGGUAAUCUCUCUUUUAGGGUUUGGCAAAGUCGGUUGUUCGAUAAUAGCGAGCAACUGAUGCUCCAAUUCCUCCCCGAUGAUCUCCGGUCGGCUACCGUCGAACUCGUCCCUUACUUUGCCGAUAGUUUUGGGAAUUCGAGUCGAAUCGAUUAUGGAACCGGUCAUGAGACCAAUUUUGCUGCGUGGCUUUAUUGUUUGGCUAGAUUAGGGUUGCUCAAGGAAGAGGAUUACCAGGCUCUUGUUUCUAGGGUUUUUGUGAAGUACCUUGAAUUGAUGAGGAAAUUGCAAUUCGUCUAUUGCCUUGAACCUGCGGGAUCCCAUGGAGUUUGGGGUCUGGACGACUAUCAUUUUCUGCCAUUUAUAUUUGGGUCGUCGCAGCUGAUCGAUCACAAGUAUAUGAAACCCAAGUCAAUUCAUAAUCAGGAUAUUCUGGACAACUUCUCCAAGGAGUAUAUGUAUAUUUCUUGCAUUGCAUUUGUGAAGCAGGUGAAGAAAGGCCUAUUUGCAGGGCAUUCCCCAUUGUUAGAUGAUAUUAGUGGUGUAGCUAAUUGGAACAAGGUGAAUAGUGGGAUGCUCAAAAUGUAUAAAGCUGAGGUGUUGGAGAAGGUUCCAAUUAUGCAGCAUUUCCUAUUUGGGUGGCUCAUCAAAUGGUAUGAUCACUGUUAAUGAGUAAUUAGCCCUGUAUGUGAUUCAUGCAUUUUUAGUUCAUUAUAAGUCAUCCACACUUUGCAUCAUGUUUAAUUGGGAAUCUUAAAAUUAUUACGAGUUUUUAUGGUGUUUUAUGAGCAUAAUCGUUAUAUUUAUAUCGUCUAUAUCAGUAACCUAUAUGGAUAUUUGGUGCUAAACCUGAUAUUUUUGGUCCCUGGAUAUUCAUCUAUUAUUUCAAUGACAAUGUUGGUUGAGGAACAACUCUAGUGUUGAUACCUUGAUCCAUGGGUUUUGUCAGGCUGAGACUUUCAUUAGCUAUUUGAUCCUCACCACCACUGAUUGCUAUACUGAAAUUUUUUUACCUAUGAUUUCUGUUAUCAUUUUAUUUAAAGCAUAGAACCCUACUUGUUAGCUAUAUGAUGUAGAAGUGAUGCACUGAGUCAAUGUUCAUGAUGAAAUAGAACCAAAGAGAUUGGCAUUAUGUUGGGUUGGUCCAUUUUUUUGGAUUCAUUAAAUCUAUCAAAAAUAAAUAAAAUUUGGAUUCAUUAACCAAGUUACUACAUAUGUUCCUUUGAUAUUUAUUAUUUGAGUAAUGUGUGUACAAACUACAAUAAAUAUCAGCCUUUUCAUAAAAAUUUUGCUUGAGUUUUCCUUAUCUCUGCACUUUUAACAUGUGUUAAUCUUUCAACGGUCUGCUUUAGUCCUCAUUCUAAGCUUGUUAAUGUGCCUUUACUUCAAACAUCUUUUCCCACCUUCUGAGUCAUUUCUUUUAAGUCAUGUAUCUCAUCUUAUAGAAAUUCAAGUGUAAUCUAAUGUCUUGAGCCAUUUUAAUUAUUUUAGUUUGAUUUGAUUUAAAAAAAAACUUUAAUGAUCAAAACUUUCAAAUUAUAAUGCAUUUGGCUAGUGAAUAUUACUUAUAAGCCCAAUGUCUCUAGACAAAUAUUUCUGGGUUUUUAAUACAUCUCAUGAGUUCCAUUUGGUAUUCUAGCCCUUUUAGCUAAGUGGUUGCAUUUCUACAUGGGAGGUCUGAGAAUCUCAGAAAGCUAAAACUAAAACAAAGUGAUUUAGUUAGUUAGUGCUUAUAUUCUGACUACUGGUUGUGUAAUAAGCUAAAACUAAAACAAACUCUGAUUUUGUGCCUGACAGCUUGUGCAGACGCUGGUAUAGUGUUUCCUCCAUUUCCAUCAACAACAAAGUCACCAUACCAUACCGGGCUUAAGGGAGGAAACAACCAUGGAAAACUGCUCUGAAGCCCUAAGAGUUUCAAUAAACUUCUGAACAGCCCGUGAUGCAUGAAUUCUUAACCAAGUCUCCAGCUAACACUGCUUGGAGACUCUAAUACCCAAAGUUGACAGAGAUAAGGGCUAAGAUUGUUUUACAGACAGUGAUAUAACAUGCUCAAGGUGAAUGUAAGAUGAGAUAUUCCUGGAUUUAUUAGGAUUGCCAGAAAGUCGAGGAGACUGAACAUUGAAGUAUGAACUCUAUGUGGAGAUGGUGCAAUUCCAGGGGGUUGUGCCCAGAGAUUCAAUGUGUCUAGGCUUCUUUCCCGGUAUACGGAUCAGCAUGUCAUUGCAACAAGCACAGAUUCCAGAAGACCACUGAGAUGGACUAUCACUGGUGUGACGAUGAACAGAGAGGUCACUGUAAUGAGGAAUAAUCUCUAUAUCCUAAUCUGACUGUCCUAAAGGAAUAUAGGGGGUGGUACAUAACUGAUGAUGCAUCUGAUCGGUCAUUACUGGGCUGUGGCACAUGAUGCCAUUCUGAAGCAGGUGGCAUGCUCUUGUUAUCAUUCGACUGAGGAAAGACUGAUGGCACAGAUUGUCCUUUGGCAACCCUCAAUAGAAGCAUAAGUGCGUUUUCGAGGCUCUCCAACAAGUUCAUCAACAUGAGCAGGAGGGAGGUCUUUUAAAGUGUUUUGGUUGUUUUUCCCAUCAAUAGGAGUGGUUCUAUACAGGGGUGAGGGGAGCAAUGACCCAUCUAAAGGUACGUACCUAAAUGACUUUUUUCUAAGAGGAACCCAAAGCCCCCAUUGGUUGGACUAGUUGUCUUGGGUUGUAUUUAACUAUGAUACUCCUUUGGUUAUUUCCUUCUUUGAUAGACAAGGAUAGCACAAAAUUCGUGAUAAUCAAAUAUGAAAUUGUCUAAUGCGUGAUAAAGUUUAAUUCAAGACCUUGCAAAAUUCAAAUAUGCACUUUCCAUCCACAAGAUUUAGCAAACUGAUGGGGCCUCUACCUUCUCUGUACCCUCCAACCGUACUCUGGCGUUUUGUGCUAUGGCACUAUAGACCUUCCAGGCUUUUAGUGCUUCAGGGAAUCCCAUUAUUCAUCUUCUAACCAUAUUUAAGAAAAUAUUUUGUUUUUUGUUGUGCUUUUUUAAGUGGUAUUUGCUAUCAACUUAGUGAUACGAGUCUUUCUUAUCUUGAGAUGUUUCCUUUCAAGGCAAAAAACCUAAAACAAAAGUUUGAAGAGCAACCCUUUUACAUAUUUUUUGGACAGAACGAAGAGAAGGAAAACAAAGGUCUUUUGAUAACGUAGAGUAAAUGUAUCUUUCUUUAACAAAUUCUCUUAUUUGUAAUUCUUUCUCAAGAAAGAUUUUUUCAGGUGAUAUUUGUUUUUUUAACUUUUUACUGAAAAUAAUUUAUUUUUAAAAUUUAGGUUGUUUGUUUUUCUAUUUUUUCAUGACUUAUUAUAAAUUUUUUACUAAUUAGAAAAAACUAAAAUAUAUAACUUUUUUUGAAUAAAAAAAAAUAAUAUAUUGAGUUUUUUUACUUUUUAAUAUUUAAUAGAAAUAAAAUACUAUAAAAAUAAAUAACCUAAUAUUUAACAUUAUAAACAUUAUAGUUUUAUUUAGAAUUAAGUAAAAAAACAAACAUCACCUUAGUAUCUUUGCUAAGUGAGGAAAAUUGUUUUUUUAGUCCUCUCCCUAUACAAUGGUUUACCUCGGUGCAUUUUUAUUUUUUAUUUUUUUAUAAAAUUCUUUUCAUUUGCCUACAUUAAUUUGGAUCUACUCAACUAUAUUUACAUGUCCUUCUGAUGUUUUUCUAAAUGCUUUUGCAGGAAGUGUAUAUAUCACCAAAAGUUAGGGAGAGAAAACGACGAACUGCGGUGGUGCGACGGGUUAAAUGAGAUUGCAUUUAGGCUGGCGUUCUGCAGCUUAACCCAACUGAAACUUGAUCGCAUAGUGACUAUCAUCAUUAUUGAUCACCGAAAACUUCGGUAUGUAUAGGCCUAUUGACACUGACGCUGAUACAAUAGUCAUAAAUAUUAUUUAUUGUUAUAUGUCUUCGCACACAGAGGACAUAUUUUCUGAUCAACAAGUGGCAAUGGCAUCUAGUUAACAUAAUUUUUGUAACAUAUAUCACAAAUGUGAUUCAUCACUCUUCCCCUUUGGAGAAGUAGUUGUGUGAUAGUGCAGCACCCCAUAAAGAGAACGCAAUGCUAGAGAAAAAAUUGGUACCUGUUUUUAUGAGACAAUGGGGCGGCGAACAUAUAUAAAAAAGAUAUGAACCCAUAGAGAUAUUGAAAAAAAUAAAAACGAUAAAGAUAACGUGGUAUAAUUAGUGUCCAUAUAUUUGGCACAUUUUUAAUGAUUUUAUACUUUUCGAGAUCGCCACAUAAAUAAAAAUAUCUUUUAGUCAAAUGAUCAUUUUUACAUUUUCAUGAUAUUGUUAUUAUUUUAUGAUAUGUCUUCUAAAAGCAUUUUUAAUGAGAAUUUUAAAUAUUUUUACAACAUAUUUAACAUUCUUAAUCUAUCAUUAUUAUUCUAUAAAAAUAUGAAAUUUUAUUUCAUAAUUGAAGUAAGAAAACAAAAACAUGUGUCUUAAGGAAAGUAAAAGAAAAAAAUAAGUAAAAGUAAAAAGUAAAUUUAAAAUUAAUAAACUAUUUCUAUAUAUUUAUUUAUUUAUAAUUAAAUCAUUUAAAUAUAUAUAAAGUUGUCAAAUUAAUUUAAAUUAUGUGUAAUCUUAUUUCCAAAAUUCUACCAUAAACCAAACCCCUGAACAUCUUUUUUUUUCCUUUAUUUAAUAUUAUUGUCUGAAACAAUAUUAAAGAAACAAACCACAACAUGAACCAUAGUAAGAAAUAUGGAAACAAGGCAGGAAAGGUGCAAAAAACUAGAUUGGAAAGUUGAGAUCUAGAGAAGCACUUGUUCAAAUAUUUUCUCCAAAUUCAAGUAAGAUGAUCCAUCUGGACCAGUGGUAGCCACUUCUGCCCUAUGCUUCCACUCCAUGGUUUUCUUUUUCAUUACUUUGCCUUUCUCUCCCACCAUCAACUCUCUCACAAGCUUUGCAACUUCAUCCCUCUUAACAUCACUGUCUAUCUCCAUUCCUACGCCCCACUCAGUGCAGCAGUAACGACAGUUGGUUUGCUGCUCUGCAAAAAAUGGCCAACAAAUCAUAGGCACUCCAGCGCAUAAACCCUCAAUUGUGGAAUUCCAGCCGUUAUGAGUUAAGAAGCCGCCAAUGGCCUGGUGCGUGAGAACUUGCUCUUGAGGACACCAACCUGCUAGUAAACCCCUGUCUUCUGUUUCUGCCACGAAUUCUGGUGGCAGAAUGGCCGACUCACCAGACACGAGAUCUGGCCUAAGAAUCCACAAGAAGCUUUGAUUGCUAUUUGCAAGUCCCCAAGCAAACUCAAUCAGUUGCUGGGGAGUCAUGACUGUGAUGCUUCCAUAAUUAACGUAAACAACAGAGUUGGGUUCUUUGGAAUCCAGCCAUUUGAGACACUCAGGCUCUUCCUUCCACAGAUUUGAUCCAAUCAACUUUAGUUCGCUAUCGUGAAUCUGAUCCGGAAGUAGCUGAAGAGGACCAAUGGUGUAGAUUGGGGGAUACAUGGGAGCAAUUGCAUCCAAAACCUCCUGCUCUAAAGCGUCAAACGUAUUGAAAAUGAUGGCAGAAGCCUUGCGAGCCCUUUCAAGCUCACCCAUGGCAAAGUCCAGCAUGAUAUCAUCUGGAUCGGUAGUCCGAAUGAAGCUCGGGAGAUCCUUCAAACGGAUACCUUUCAUGCCCGGUAUCCAAUCAACAACAGUAUCCAAAUACCCAUUUGUUAGAUAACUCUCAUCUGCAUAUCACAGAAGAAGGAAAAAUGAAAAAUCAGAGUCGGUAGGAGACUGGGAUUUGAAAAACUUGUAUUCAAAGCCGAACUUGGAAUAAUACCUUUGAGUGGUGUAAAACCCUUGUCGAUGAGACUGCGAUACUGCACAUAGGCCAUGAAGCCACAAGCACUAGCUGUCCAUAAAAGAAGGUCGGGAAUGCCGAGUUCUUGAGCCGCGUCUAAAGUGAAGCUCAUGACAGCGUCAGAAAAUAUGCAAGUGACGGGAGGACCUCUGUCGUUGAGUUUGGCGAGAAGGCGUCUAAAGGGAGCCAAACAGUUUUUUUUGGUGGAUGCACAGAGGGAAGGGAUGUCUUGGGUUGCGUCGACAUUGGACGGUGGGAGACCAUCGGGAAUGGUUUCGAACUGAAAGGUGGGGAGACCAUUGAGGGAGUUGGGGCCCUGGGCCUUGAGUAAGCGUGUGUGGUUGAACUCUGUGUUGACAAAGGUGAUACGAAAGCCUCUGAAAUGGAGGAGCUUUGCUACUUUUAGCAUAGGAUUGAUGUGCCCCUGAGCAGGGUAUGGAAUGCAAACUGCAUGAGGCUUCUCCAUGGAACCCAUUUUUGCUUUGGGAUGCCCUCCCGAUACAUCUGCCUCCAAUUUUAUAGAGUUUUUGAAUAUGGCAUCUAAGCUGUUUUUUUUUUUUUUUUUUCAAAAAAAAAAAAUCAUUGAUAAUACUGAUUUAAUCUAUGAAAUAAAACCGUCUCUGUCUAUAUUGGUUUUUAUUUGAAGUUGAAUAAAGAACCUCCGUCAUCGGUUUUGGUUCAAGUGUUUUUUAAAAAUCAACUUAAAAUCGCAUGUGCCAAAUCGAUUUAACUUUUUUCGAAAAGUCAAUUUCCGAGGCCACAGAAAGGCGGAAAGCAAGGGAGGUUGGUGGAACACCCUUUCCCUUUUUAAAACGGUACCGAACUCACUAAUUUAAUUGCACGAUCGAAGCUGGAAAUAUUUUGUUAUAAUUAAUCAAUCCUGUGCUGCAGCAACGUCUUCCACCUACACUUUUUAUCUUCAAAUCACAGUCGACUGGAAGGAUUAAGUCAUGCGGGAUCCCUUGUUAUUCAUGUAAAAGAAAAAGCCCGCGUUGGAGCCAGGGACUUCCUGUUUGUUUUUCCUGUCACGAUUGAGUGACCGCUAUCCAUGAAAAGUACGAGAAAGAACGUGACAAACUAGGAUCUUGUCAUGAGCCUCUAUCAUCUUCCGUUGAGAAUAAUGAAUUUACCACCUAUAUAUGUUAAAGCUGAUGCUCUGUUUAAAAAUUUUGGACGGCCGCUGCCCUUCCUAGCAUCAAUAUAUUGCACUGCCACGAAUCCAAAGCAAAUCUUUCUCGUUUGCAUCAGACUUUGUUUAAAAAAUGGAACUCAUAGAACUCCGCAGCUGCCCAACUAAUUAAAUCAGAGGACUAAGUUAUCGUCCAUGAAUUUAUUACUGAUAUGAACGUUAUAUAAUAUAAAGAUAAGAGAAGUGAGAGGGUAAGUUGACCAUGCACUCUCAUCUAGAUAUUAUAAUCUUCAACCAGCUCAUCCCUAAUAGGCCUCCCCUGAUAUUGGCUUCUGACUUCUGUGACUGUCUUGCAUAAUGCAUGAUGUCAAGCGAAGAAAGUGUUGGUAAUUUUUUUACUGGAAUUCAAAGAAUUGGAGAUUCGAACAAAAGAAAUGAAUGAUGAAUGAAAACCAUGUUCACGGUAUAGGAACUGCAGCCAAGUAUUGACUAGCAGGUGGAAUGAUACCAUCAGCGCCGAUUGCCUUGAAUAGUUAGUAUGCAUCCUUACUCCUUACCCAUCAUUAUCCAUCAAUUAUCUAGUAUUUAUUAUGAGUGACCAUAUAUUCGCCCACUUGUGCAGGCCCUGCAGAAGAAUAAAUUGAUGAUAUGAACUACUUUUUUAAAAAUAUCUUCCGAGUCUGGCUUGACAUCGAAAUUGAAACAGAGUAAUAAAUUGUACAAUGCCCAAUUCUCUUGGUCUGUGUGACAGAACGGACAUCUUGCUGAUCACUCCAAAGAAAAGAAUACGCAUUGCACCAUAAAAUAAUACAGUCAAGUAUUAUUGCGUCCCUCUUACGUACAUUAGAUUGAUACACUUUUGGAUAGGUUUCUGAAUUGAGAUACUUUGGAUAGUUUGGGCGGCUGGCUGACUCUCUCGUGCUUGGCCAAAUCCUUAAAACCACCUAAUAAAAUACAAACUAAAUUAAUUCAUGAUAAAAAGAAAAAUAAUAAGAGAAAUAGAAAUAGAAGGAAGAGACAUAUUUUCUUACCUAUGUCUUUAGAUAUGAUAAUUAAUUCACUAAUCUUCAAAAUCUAAAAUUGGCUAAAACUCCAACAACUUUGUAUAAAGUCAUUUUUAUACCCUUUGACUAAAGGACUUAUAUAUUCAUAAUAUCCCGAACUUUACAAAAUCAAUUCAUAAUCCUUGUGGGACAAGGAAUCGUAAAAUAUCAUAUCUUAAUUGAGUUCAAAAUUAACAAGCCAAUGUUAUUAUAUUGAUAUGUUUUGUAGCAUUUUCUAGAUGGUUAACGAGGGAUAUGAAUUUAUUUUAGGGGUUCAAAAAUAAAACAAAAUGGGCAUGUAACAUAAUGGGAACUAUGGAUUUGAUGCAAAUGCCUUUCGAAAUAGAUCAAAUCAUCAUUCUUGCUGUAUAAGGAAAUUUAGAGAAAAAAAUAUGGGUUAAACUUCUUUUAACUUGUCUUAUUUCUCAAUUAAUUAUCACUUAUCAUUAACUACGGAUAAACAUGAAAGGAAUAAAUACCCAUGUUGUUAAAUGAAGAUUUAAUCUCUAAAUUUAGAUAGCAUAUAUUUUUAAAUUUUGAAAAAAAAAAUGUCCCAAAAAACAUGAGGGCCAAGUCUAAUUAGACUCAAAGAUGUUGACAACUUAGAAUAAUAUUUCGAAUAAGAAUUUAAUGCAUCAAUUUGCUUUAUUAUUUAUUUGUCAACAUGUAUGCAGUAAGUUAUUAUUAUGACUUAAUUAUUUUCAAUCAAAUGUUCUACUAUAUGAUUGGAUUUAAUAUUUACAUUUGAGUGGGUGUAAUCCCCAGGAUUCGAACUUGGGUCCAAGCCUUAAAGUUUAGGACGUUGCCCUCCUAGUACCAUCUGGGCUACUAGCUCAGAUGGUACCAAGAGGGCAACGUCCUAAGCCUUAAGGCUUGGACUCAAGUUCGAAUCCUAGGGAGACCACUCUGUGAUGCCCCUGACUGGCACAUAGACUUUUUUUGCUCUGGUGCCCAACCAUACCAUCGAACUGUGCCAGACGAGGGCAUCACAGGAAUGGGCCGGACAGCGUAGAGUCUUAUAGGGCCAUUUGUUUAUUUGGCCCUUGGGUGACGUCUCCAGGAUUCGAACUCGGGGCCUUAACCCAGACAGUUGCCCUCCUGGUACCAUCUAGGCUACUAAUGUUGAGGUCUUGCGUCAUGAUCCACAUAACUACCAAAUGGACGCACACUUUCAACCAAGAUAGAGUUCUGGUUCAGUUUUCCCUGCAAAAGAUGUCCGGACAGGGUGUCCAGACACACCCUCCAAUGGUUUUUUCAGUCAUGGUUAGAGAGAUUAAGCAGUUGGCCUUUUACUAGGUAUAGCAAGCUUACCUUCCUCCUUAUGUGAAGGUCCUUAUAUAUAGUAUCAGAAGUUCUGCUUCCCUCUUUAAUGGUAGGGAGACUUUUUGACUCGUCAUGAUGCCUCUAGGUGGUGGCAGGGCUAUCAUCACCCUACAGGUGGCUGUCAGAGAUCGUGGGAAGUGACUUGCCAUCAUUCAUGUCCUUUCGCUCUACAGGUGGCGGAACGUGGGUUGUGGCAGGCUGUCGGAAUGAUGUAGUAAGACUUACUUACUUUAGUCAACGAUCCGGACAACAUAUCCGGAUAGGAUAUGCUAUCGUCCGGAUGUGAUGUUUGCGAGUGCCGUGUGCUUCUCCCUGAGGAAGUCCGGAUGGAGUCACUCCGGACAGCGAGGCGCCCACGUAUCAUAAGGGGGAGGGGUCCCUACAAUGAUGAGCAGUGCAUAAAUACAUUUCCACUUUAUUCACCUUACUAAUACUACAUUUAAAUAUGGUGCACAAAAGUUCAUCAUAAAACAAGGAAAGGAACGUGCGGAUGCUAAGUUUUAACUUGUUGGAAUGCUUGGGAUUUGGAGAAACACUUGAUUUAUCAUUUUGUCCAAGUUGGAGUAAGAUGAGCCAUUUGAAUCAAUGGUGGCCUUUUGUGCCAUCUUCUUCCACUCCAUGGCCUGCUUUUUCAUCUCUUUGCCUUUGUCUCCCUCGAUCAAUUCUCUCACAAGCCUCUCAACUUCAUCUCUCUUAACGUCACUGUCGAUCUCCGUGCCUAUGCCCCAUUCUGUGCAACAGUAGCGGCAGUUGGUUUGCUGCUCUGCGAAAAAUGGCCAGCAAAUCAUGGGCACUCCUGCACUCACACUUUCCAUAGUGGAAUUCCACCCGUUGUGAGUUAAGAACCCACCAACGGCAGGGUUGCUGAGAACUUCCUCCUGAGGACACCAACUUGCUAGCAGACCCCUGUUUUUGGUCUCUGCCAAGAAUUGUGGCAGAAGAAUGGCCGACUCACCAGACACAAUAUCCGGCCUUAUUAUCCAUAAGAAUGUUUGAUUGCUAUUUGCCAGUCCCCAAGCAAACUCAUUGAGUUGAUCUGUUGUCAGGCUUGUCACGCUUCCAAAAUUCACGUAAACAACAGAGUUGUGUUUUUUGGAGUUGAGCCAUUCGAAAAAACCCCAUUCUUCUUUCCACAGAUUUGAUCCAAUCAACUGCAAAUCAUUAUCUUGGACCUGAUUCACGAGUAGACUUAAAGGACCAAUGGUGUAAAUUGGAGGAAACAUUGGUGAAAGUGCAUCCAAAACAUCCUUCUCGCAUCAAACGUAUUGAAAAUGAGGGCAGAAGCUUUGUGGGCUCUUUCAGCCUCAUGCAAUGGAAAGUCCAGCAUAAUUUCAUUUGGGUCUGUAGUUCGAAUGAAGCUCGGGAUGUCCUUCAGACGAAUACCUCUCAUACCAGGUAUCCAAUCAAUAACGGUGUCCAGAUACCCAUUUGUUAAGUAACUGGGGUCUUCAUGUCACAGAAAAAACAGAUUCAAAAAAAAAAAAAAAAAAAAAAAAUACAAGAAUCGGUACUGCUAACUCGGAUUUGAAAAUGUAUAUGCAAAUUGGGGUUUAGGUUGAUACCUUUAAGGGGUAUAAAACCCUUGUCGAUGAGAUUGCGAUACUGCAAGUAGCCCAUGAAGCCACAAGUACUAGUUGUCCAGAAAAGAACGUCAGGAAUGGCCAGUUCUUGGGCAGCAUCAAGAGUGAAGCUCAUGGCACCAUCAGAGACUAUGCAAGUGACAGGAGGCCCGUCGUGGUUAAGUUGGGAAAGAAGGUCUCGAAAAGGAUCUAAGCAGUUUUUUCUGGUGGAGGCGCAGAGGUAGCGGAUAUCUUGGGUGGCGUCUUCAUCGGACGGAGGGAGACCAUCGGAAAUGGUUUUGAAUUGGAAGGAAGGCAGAUCAUCAAGGGAGUUGGGGCCACGGGACUUGACCAGGCGCUUAUGGUUAAACUCCGUGUUGACGAAAGUAAUAUGUAAGCCUUUGAAACAGAGGAGCUUUGCUAAUUUUAGCAUAGGGUUUAUGUGGCCUUGAGCUGGGUAUGGUAUGCAAACUGCAUGAGGCUUCUCCAUGGAGACAACUCAGCUCUUUAUCUUUGCUCUCUCUUCCAGUCUUGUAUAUCAUCGUGCCGACCCAGCUCCGGUCUUAUAGGGCGGGAGAGAGAGGGUCUCUACACAAUAUGUUUAACUCUCGAAAAAUAUUAUUAAGGAAAAAAAAUUAUUUAAAAAAAUAUUUUUUUUAUAUUUAACUUUACUAUAAAAAAUUUCAAAAAAAAAAAAUCAAAUACAAUUAAAAUUAAUUAAACUUCAUUUAUAUUAAAUUUAUUUAACUUAUUAAUAAAAAUAAUUAAAAAAUAAUUUAUUAAUCUUAAAUUUAUUUUUUACUUUUUAUUAUUUUUUUCUCUUUCAAAUUUUCAGAACCAAACACAGCGUUAAAGAACACGCAUGCAGUCAUUUUUCACAUGCGAGGAUGUUGAUGGGUGUUGUCGACCACCUAACUCUCACAGUUUAAAUAAUAUAUAUAUAUAUUUUAAAAUUUUAACUACUUUUUUUUUUUAUGUAAAAGAACCCUACUUUUACUGUACCAGAGGUGAUGUCUUUUUGUUGGAAUUAGUAUCAAAUGGAUGCUUCAUUGUACCUAAGUUAAAGCAUGCUUAAAUUUUAAUUCUUGUAUAUCUUGUUUUCUGCAGGAUAUUAGAGUAAAACAGGUUUCACGCAUUAUUGGACGAUCACGCCAUUUCUCUUCCAGAGUUGGAAAGUCCAACGGAGAGCAGAACUCGUUUUCAAUGACUCAAUUAUUUUCCGUUGAUUCCGUUGAUUAGACGGGAUAGCAUCAUGGUAGGCCAGACGGGAUUUAGUCGGACUGAAAACUCAAUAAUUUAGACGUACACAACUUUAGAAAAGGAAUUGGGUUAUUGAGGACGAGGUUCGGAAAGGAAGUGGAAUUAGGACAAAAAUAGAAGACGAGUGAAAGACUCGGUUGAGGAACUGAGAACCAUGUUGAUGAGUAAUGCUGCGCGCAAGGCAAAGAACAAAAAGUAUGAUACAAGCACCCCGAAUCCUUGCGGUUUCUCCGUGUACCCGUCUUUUGUUUCCAAGGAAAGUGACGUUGGAGUAGUGAUUAUCCUGAGGCACAUUGCGACUCCCGUAAAGAUAACAAACUGCACCCUUUCUUGCUCUUGGUAUACCAUUUCUGAUUUCCAUGAUUAGCAAAAUCAGAAAAAUUUCUCCUGUUAUAGAAUAGAUAGCUAAAUUAGAAAAGUCAAUCUGUACAUAGCGUGAUGAGGUCCCUCAAUUUCUCCCAUCUCUUUUUACUCACUCUCAAAGCAGUAGGAAAAAGUAAACUGAUCCCCAUGCUGUCGUCGGCCUUACCCAGGAUAAAAAACUGUUGAUGUGGAAUCGUGUACUGCAAAUAAAUGAAGCACAUGUUCCAUGUGGUUUCAGAUGCGUUUUGCAUGCGUAUGGACACGACAAAUUGGCUUUCAUGCAAGUAGGAUCAAUUAUAACUCAAUCUUUAAUGAAAUAUUCUUAAUAGUUUUUUUUACCAAAAAAUUAUAUACUAACUAAAAGUUUGAAGUACUUUUUAUAUGAAGAACACAGCAUUACAAAAUAUCUUCAAUAUUCAGGUACAGCAUGAGUAUUUUUUUAUUUCGUAAACAAUACGUCAGACUAUUGAAAACAACAAAUGAAGCAUCCAGAGCAAAAUAAUAGACGAGUCAGAAUUCGCUGAGUUGGGACAUUCGAGAAAGGAGUGUCUAGGGUCUAGAGAAGAGCUUGAGUGAUCAUUUUGUCCAAGUUCGAGAAAGACGACCCCUUGGGACCUCUAGUGGCCUCUUCUGCUAGAGUCUUCCACUCCAAGGCCUUCUUCUUCAACUCUUUGCCUUUCUCUCCCUCCAUCAACUCCUUCACAAGCCUUUCAAUUUCAUCUCUCUUAACAUCGCUGUCUAUCUCCAUGCCUAUGCCCCACUCAGUGCAACAGUAGCGGCAGUUGGUUUGCUGCUCUGCAAAAAAGGGCCAACAAAUCAUAGGCACUCCAGCGCUCACACUUUCAAUUGUGGAAUUCCAUCCGUUGUGAGUUAAGAAGCCGCCAACAGCCGGGUGACUGAGAACUUGCUCUUGAGGACACCAACCUGCUAACAGACCCCUCUCUUUCGUCUCUGCCACGAAUUCUGGUGGAAGAAUGGCCGCGUCACCGGACACAAGAUCUGGCCUAAUUAUCCAUAAGAACGUCUGAUUGCUAUUCACAAGUCCCCAAGCAAACUCAUUGAGUUGCUGCGAUGUCAUCACUGUGAUGCUCCCGAAAUUCACGUAAACAACAGAGUUGGGCUCUUUGGAGUCCAGCCACUCCAGACAUUCCGGCUCUUCUUUCCACAGAUUCGAUUCCAUCAACUUCAAAUCGUUAUCUUGGAUCUGACUCAUGAGUUGGUGCAGGGGACCGAUGGUGUAGAUUGGGGGAAACAUCUGAGAAAGUGCAUCCAAAACUUCAUGCUCUAGAGCAUCAAAUGUAUUGAAAAUGAGGGCAGAAGCCUUGCGAGCUCUUUCAGCCUCCCGCAAUGGAAAUUCCAGCAUAAUUUCAUUUGGGUCCGUAGUUCGAAUGAAGCUUGGGAUAUCCCUCAAACGGAUACCUUUCAUACCCGGUAUCCAAUCAAUAACGGUAUCCAGAUACCCAUUUGUUAGGUAACUCUCAUCUGCAUUUCAUAGAAAGGAGGGGAAAAAAAUAUGAGAAUCCGUAUUGAGCUUAGCUUUGAAGUAAUUAAAUGCAAAGUUGGUCAGUAUUUGAUUCAUUUGAAUGAUACCUUUGAGUGGAGCCAAACCCUUAUCGAUAAGAUUGCGAUAUUGCACGUAGCCCAUGAAGCCGCAAGCACUAGUUGUCCAGAAAAGAACUUCAGGAACGCCAAGCUCUUGAGCAGCAUCAAGAGUGAAGCUCAUGGCGCCAUCAGAAACUAUGCAAGUGACUGGAGGGCCAUCGUGGUUGAGGUUGGAAAGAAGGUCUCUAAAGGGAGGCAGGCAGUGUUUUCUGGUGGAGACACAGAGGGCGGGAAUGUCUUGGGUGGCAUCAACAUUGGAGGGAAGGAGACCAUCGGGAAUGGUCUUGAAUUGGAAGGAGGGGAUGCCCUUGAGGGAGUCUGGACCCCGAGAUUUGAGCAGGCGGUUAUGGUUGUACUCUGUGUUGACAAAGGUAAUGUGGAACCCUCUGAAAUGAAGGAACUUAGCUAGUUUUAGCAUAGGGUUUAUGUGGCCUUGUGCUGGGUACGGUAUGCAAACUGCAUGUGGCUUCUCAGCUGAGGCUAAGGAACCCAUUCUCUCUCUCUCUAUCUCUCACUUUCACUCUGUCCUCAAUUGGUAUAUGCCCAUGACAUUGGAAGUAGCUUGGGUUUUAUAGCCCCAGGAGAGAGGGUCAAACAAGUUACUUAUAUUUAUAUAUAUAUUAAAGACAGAAGUCAGAAGUCAAAUAAAUGCUGCAAUAUUAAUAUAUGUACAGCUGUAUCAGAGAGUAACUAAAGGUCAAACUUGGCUCUCUCCUUUAUCUAGGUUAACCCACCUGUCCUCCAUACUUCACGGCAGGUGCCUAAUGCUUUUCAUAGGAGAUGUACAACAGAUUCAAUAUUUACACAAUUAUCAACUUUUAAUUACCUACCCCUUUAAUAUAUUACUCUUAAGCAAUAUAAACGAUAUACAAAUACCUAUUUUUGUAAUGCAGUAGGAUCUUGACAAUCAAUUAUUUGGUCCUGAUCCUGGAACCAUGUAUCAACAGCCGGUCACCCUUUAAAAAUCAUGAAUUAGACAACCCAUGCUUUUUUCGGACAAAAAACAACCGACAAGGGAUUUCCACAACUUUUUCUAAUGGAUGAACAUACCUUUUCUGUAUCUCUUUAUGUACAUAAACCAAUAAUUUGGGCAGUCCAAAAGCUUUGCGGAUUCUAUGUGGGGCUAAAUGGUAUCAUUCAUCUUCUGUGUUGGCCCGCAGUCGACAUGGCACAAGAACUUCACAAUUUGUACUGGUAUGGAGUUUAUUUUCUUAUUAAGAAUGUUUGUCCAAACCGAUAUGAUAUAUGGUUUGUAUUUGUGAAAGAAAUAUCUUCAAAUUCUGAAAAGGCAUAAACCUAACCCCGCCGCAAGCUAAAAGUUGACCAAAGAAAGUCGAUAAGCUUUUAAAACUCGUUCCAAGUUGUCGGAUGUCCACACCUAUAUAUUAUUAUUUAUAGGUGUGCGAAUGGAUGAGAAAUCUAUUAUAUAUGAUGUUAAUGGUUAAGUCGGACCCAUACAAACAAAAGAUGAAGUCGGUAUAUAUAAUGGAAACAAAGAGGUGGAAACAAAGAGGUGCUAAUCGCUAUGAAUUGAAGACAGAAUGCAUCCACCCCAUACAAAAAUGUCGACCAUAAGAUGAAAUAAAAUAUUUAGAGAAGAUAAAUGUGAGGGCGGUGACAAGAUUGAGGAGCUUAAAACAAUGAUUAAAAUAUAGGGAUAUUUCAACGAUGUGUCUGUGUCGAUAUGAGCUAUUUACAUGCUGUCCGGCGAGUUGAAGCUUCAACCAUCCACAUUACUGUUGAGGCAAGUUUUCCCCUUGUUAAUAAUCUUACACUAUAUAUAUAUAUAUAUUAAAAGUUUUCAUAUACACUAAAUAUUUAAACAAUUAAUUAAUUAUAUUUAUUUUAUAAUUAAAUACAAAAUUUUCAUUUAAUUGAGUAAUAAAAAGUUUUUAAUAUCAUUAAUAUAUUAAUUAAAUAUUAAAAAAUUAUACAUUUAUCAUCAUUUAUUUUAUAUCAUUUAAUACAAUUAAAUUAAAUAUAUUAUAAUUUUAAUAUUAAAUAUAUUUUAAAAUUAAAUAUAUUAUAAUCAAAUAUCAUAAUAUUAUUAUCGAAUAAUAUUUGAUGUAAUUUAAUAAUUAAUAUACACUUUUAUACAUAUGUAUUAAUUUAUUCAAUAAAACAAAUUUAAAAUAUCUAUUACAUUUCUAAUUUAAUUUUUAAAAACUUUAUUUUAUAUUUUUAAAAGUUUUGAUCAAUUUUAAGUCGAUCAAUUUUUUGUAUCAAAAUAUCCAUCAAUAUAUUUUCGAUAUAUCCGUAAAAUCGAAUUAUCGAUAUAUUAGUGAUUACCGAUAAUUUUAUCAUUGGCUUAAAAGAGAAGUGAUGCUAUGGGACCAAAAAAAAAAAAUCUGAUCCUGUGAGAGAUUCCUUGGGGGGUCUGAAUGUUUUUGCUGGCUUCCUUUGCCAUUCUUUCACGUACCUUAUGUUCGCAUUCCUGGAAAGACAACUCCCAUUUUCAUUCUUUCCUUUCAUUCAAUCAUUACGAAGACCACAAACUUCAGUAUUGUACGGCUUUAUCUGGGUCUAAAUUUUCUGGUCAUUUUCUUGAUCCUUCCGUGAACCAUUGGAACGCCAUGGAGCUUAACUUCUUGUUUAUAUAUAUAUAUAUAUAUAUGAACAUCAAAUGCAGGUAAGUUAGGACAUUGUAGGGACCCCUCCCUCCGAGACACGUGGCACGCAUCUUACAGUGACACGUGGCACGCAUUGUCAUCCAGGUCAUUUUCAUCCGGACCUUCUCAUAAAGCACAAUGGCACGCUUUUCCGGACUACCUCAAGGAAGAUCAAACGACACUUAUAAGCAUAUCAUCCGGACGAUUUACACAAUGCAUCCGGAUGAUCAACAUAGGCCGUCCGGAUACAAUGGUCCGGACCACUAACUAAAGUAUAGCGAGUCUUACACGCUAUCACGACAACCAGCCAUGGCCCACGUCCCAUCACCUGCAGAGUGAAAGGACGGGUUGAGGUGACAACAAGUCACUUCCCACGAUCAUUCUACAUGAUCACUUCCCACGAUCAUUCUACAUGAUCACUUCCCACGAUCUCUAAGCAGCAGCAUCACCUACCACGGUUUCUGACAGCCGCCAGUAGGGUGGCGAUGACCAUGCUGCCUCCGAAUGUCAUCAUGACAAACAUAAAAUAUCUCCUCGCCAUUAAUGAGAGGAACAAUACUCCUAGCACUAUAUAUGAACCUUCGCACGAAGAAGAAGGUAAUCUCCAGAUACCGAGUAAAAGGCCAACUGAUUUAUAUCUCCCUCUCUAGCCAUGGCUAACAAAACCAUUAGAGAGUGCGUCCGGACACUCUGUCCGGAUGCCUUUUUGCAGGUAUAACGACUGAAUCAAGAACCUUUGUGUGUUGAGAUCGCGUCUCCAUCCAUUUGGCAACUACGUGGAAGCCCAGGAGUGCGAGGUAUUAACAUUGGCGCCGUCUGUGGGAACAUUUUUACUUUGAUUCAGUCACCAAAAAAGAUGGCUACACCUUCCCGAAGCCGAUCAUCUGGUAAAGGAGUGGAUGGAUGAUAAUUUUGAAUGACGUCAAACCAUCGAAAGAAGACAGUUGGCAAGCGAACGACAACUAAAAGCUCUCCUCCAAGAGACAGAAAGAUUGAGAGAAGAAAACACUGUAUUACGUAUCCAGGUUUCAACAUCAGGGCCUCCUCGACGUCGGCAUUCAAGGGGCCAAGUAGCAAACUCGAGGCCUCAGUAAGAGCCGGAAUCAAUAUAUCCUGGGACAACAGGGGCUAUCCCAGGGGCAUGCAACGUAAGGCCUCACGAGCCACGCACGCCUAUGCCUCGAGCUCCCCGUGAUGAAAGCUCAGACUCUACUCACUUUUCAGCAAAAAGACAACGUGAUAAAAAAUCACAGUUGUCAAAUUCGAUGCGCGCAAGACUAGGCCCGCAAGAGCCUAGAAGAUCAAGGCCACCAAUGGCCACAACCUGGGCACCACGCCCUGACCCCAUGGCCACCCCCAUGGUGCAAAACGUUCACCCGCAUCGUGACCCCGUAGUCACCCUCGUGAUGCGGAACGUUCAUUCGCACCCAGCGGAACGACCAGCUGGGAGAAACAUCCCAAACGAGCCGAUCAUUGGCUCCAUCAGCAAAAGGCUGGAUGACAUGCUCUCCACGCCUUUUUGCUCUCAUAUCAUUAAUUACGAGCCCCCAAGGGGAUUCCUCGUACCAAAGUUUUCCACAUACGAUGGAACCAACGAUCCCUUCGAUCACAUCAUGCAUUAUCGACAGCUUAUGACGCUCGAUAUUGGCAACGAUGCACUGCUAUGCAAAGUAUUUCCCGCCAGCUUACAAGGACAGGCCCUCUCAUGGUUUCAUCGCCUACCUCCCAACUCUGUUGGCGAUUUCAGGGACCUGUCCGAAGCUUUCGUGGGACAAUACUUGUGCUCCGCACGACACAAGCAAAAUAUCAGCACCCUGCAGAACAUAAAAAUGCAAGAUAACGAAUCCUUGAGGGAAUUCGUGAAGCGAUUUGGCCAGGUCGUGCUUCAAGUAGAGGCUUGUAGUAUGGAUGCUGUCCUACAGAUCUUCAAGCGAAGCAUCUGUCCAGGCACUCCAUUUUUCGAAUCACUGGCUAAAAAGCCUCCUACAACGAUGGAUGACUUAUUCAGACGAGCCAACAAAUAUUCAAUGCUCGAAGAUGACGUACGUGCAGCCACCCAGCAAGUUUUGGUUGCCGGACGGCCAUCUAGAAGUGAUGCGGAGAGAAAUACUAAGCCUUCGGAUCGACCAAAGCCGUCUGACCGAAGGCAGGAAGGGCCAAGUCGCUCGGAAAGGCCGCCUCUCACACCUCUUUCCAUAUCAUAUGAAAAACUUCUCCCCAUGAUCCAAGGCUUGUCUGACUUCAGGUGGCCAAGACCCCAAGGAACAGACCCCUCCACAAGGGAUCAUAGCAAGAGAUGUGUCUUCCACAAAGAUCAUGGCCAUACAACAGAGACAUGCCGAGCUUUCCAGUUUCUGGUCGAGAGGCUUAUAAAAGCAGGGCAUUUGAAGCAAUACCUCCGAUCAGAUAAUGGAGAAAGGGACGCAUCCCAACAUCACAACCCCGGGGCCCCUAGGGCCCCAACUGCCCCCAAGGCCAUUAUAAACUAUAUUAACGGAAGUCCAUCUGAUGAGGAGUACGACUCUAGGCGAAAGAGACAAAAAUUGUUGCGGGCCGCAUCAAUACGCGAACGCAUCAAUUCCAUCCGACCUGGGCUAACUGGAGGGGGCCCUCGCCCCAUAGAUGGGACAAUCAUUUUCCCACCAGUAGAUCCCACCAGGACACUGCAACCACAUCGCGACGCCCUCAUCCUGUCCCUGGAAAUUGGGGGCUUUGAUGUGCGGCGUAUCUUAGUUAACCCAGGCAGCUCGGCCGAUCUUAUACAAGCAUCAGUCGCUAGCCACAUGGGACACAGUCUCACAGUCCUUGAAAACCCUGGACAAAUCUUGUCCGGAUUCAACGGAUCGUCAACUAUAUCUUUGGGAGACAUUGUACUGCCGGUCCAAGCUGGCCCAGUCACUCUCAACGUGCAAUUCUCGGUAGUACAAGAGUUAUCACCCUUCAAUAUCAUCUUAGGGCGCACAUGGCUACACUACAUGAAAGCCAUCCCCUCUACAUAUCAUCAAAUGGUGAGUUUCAUCACCAGCGAGGGGCAGAUUGACCUGUAUGGCAGCCAGUUAGCCGCUCGCCAAUGCUAUCAAAUAGCACGAGAGGCAGGGGCCAACCAGGAGGAUGCAUCUCCCCCUGAACCCAACAUUGCACAUGACCAAUAGCAAUUAUUGGGUCGGGCGGACAAAGAUCCCCCGGCAGCAGAUCCUUUACAAACAAUCCAAAUUUCGAAGGAAAGCACUCACCUUACAAACAUCAGCUUCCUCAUGACAGCCGAAAAAACUCAGUGUAUGCAAAACAUUCUCAGACAGAAUCAUGACAUCUUCGCAUGGGCACAUUCUGAUAUGAAGGGAAUUCAUCCCUCUAUUGCAUCUCACAGGCUUAACGUCUUUUCAACUGCCAGACCCGUCCGGCAGAAAAUUAGGCGUUUUCACCCGGAUAGACAAAAAGUCAUCCGAAAUGAGAUGGACAAAUUGCUCGAAGUCGGAUUCAUCAGAGAAGUUUCUUAUCCGGAGUGGUUGGCAAAUGUAGUGGUGGUACCCAAAAAAGAAGGAAAGUGGCGAGUUUGUGUAGACUAUACCAAUCUCAAUAAUGCAUGUCCAAAAGACAGUUUUCCCUUGCCACGAAUAGAUCAGAUUGUGGAUUCCACGUCCAGGCAAGGGAUGCUCUCUUUCUUGGAUGACUUCUCCGGAUAUCAUCAAAUCCCCAUGUCCCCGGACGAUGAAGAAAAGACAGCAUUCAUAACGCCACACGACCUCUAUUGCUACAAAGUCAUGUCAUUCGGACUCAAAAAUGUUGGUGCCACUUAUCAAAGAUUGAUGACUAAAAUCUUCGAACCUCUAAUAGGCCACACGGUAGAGGUAUAUAUUGAUGAUAUCGUGGUUAAAAGCAAAACCCGAGAGCAGCAUGUCCUUCACUUACAAGAAGUUUUUCACCUCUUACGAAAGUAUGGCAUGAAGCUAAAUCCUUCUAAAUGCGCAUUUGGCGUAAGUGCUUGCAAAUUUCUGGGAUUUAUGGUCAGCCAAAGGGGCAUAGAAGUCAGCCCGGAUCAAGUCAAAGUAGUCAUGGAAACACCCCCUCCCAGGAACAAGAAGGAGCUACAACGACUCAUAGGCAAGCUCGUCGCACUAGGGCGUUUUAUAGCCCGCUUCACUAAUGAAUUGCGACCCUUCUUCUUGGCAAUACGAAAAGCUGGAGCACAUGGAUGGACGGACAGUUGCUAGAACGCUUUCGAAAAGAUUAAGCAUUGUCUUACGCAACCGCCCAUCUUGAGCAGCCCCAUUCCAAAAGAGAAAUUGUAUAUGUAUCUGGCGGUAUCAGAAUAGGCAAUCAGCGUCGUUCUAUUCCGCUGCCCCUCGCCCAAGGAGUGAAAACCUAUCUACUACGUCAACAGGGCAUUGGCUGACGUAGAAACCAGAUAUUCAAAAAUGGAGCUAACAGCCUUAGCCCUUCGAAACGCUGCUCAGAAGCUCCGCCUUUAUUUCCAAGCUCAUCCAGUGAUCGUACUAACUGACCAGCCCCUUCGCAAUAUUCUGCACAAGCCAGAUUUAACCGGGAGAAUGCUACAAUGGGCCAUUGAAUUAAGCGAAUUUGGAAUCGAAUUCCAACCUAGGUUGUCCAUGAAAGGCCAGGUAAUGGCUGACUUCGUGCUAGAAUAUUCCCGAAGACCCAGCCAACACCACGAAUCAAGUAAACAAGAAUGGUGGACUCUGCGAGUUGACGGAGCCUCACACUCAUUCGGCUCUGGAAUUGGGCUCCUACUACAAUCCCCAACUGGGGAACAUUUGGAGCAAGCCAUCCGGCUGGGAUUCUCUGCCUCUAACAAUGAAGCAGAAUAUGAGGCUAUCUUGUCCGGAUUGGACCUCGCCCUUGCUCUAUCCGUCUCCAAACUCCGAGUCUACAGCGACUCACAACUCGUGGUAAAGCAUGUCCAGGAGGAAUAUGAGGCUAAGGACACACGCAUGGCGCGAUACUUAGCUAAAGUAAGAGAGACUUUGCAGCAAUUCACCGAAUGGACAAUCGAAAAAAUCAAGCGAGCUAACAAUAGGCGCGCUGACGCCUUGGCUGGCGUAGCUGCCUCCCUCCCUAUCAAAGAAUCCAUUCUAUUGCCCAUACAUGUGCAACUCAACCCCUCUGUCGCAGAAAGUUCCACCUGCAAUACCAUUGAGGCACCCCAAGCGGACGGCCAAGAAUGGAUGAAUGGCAUCACAUAAUAUAUCCGGACUGGAACUUUACCAGGAGAUCUCAAACAGGCACACAAAGUCCGGGUGCAAGCUGCCCGUUUCACCCUGAUUGGGGGGCACCUAUACAAGCGAUCCUUCACAGGACCUUACCUUCGAUGCCUAGGGCAUUCAGAGGCCCAGUAUGUGUUAGCUGAGUUACACGAAGGAAUAUGCGGGAAUCAUUCAGGAGGACGAUCUCUGGCACAUCGAGCCCAUUCACAGGGAUAUUAUUGGCCAACAAUGAAGAAGGAUGCGGCAACAUACGUCAAAAAUUGUGACAAAUGUCAAAAGCAUGCUCUCAUUCCACAUAUGUCAUCAGCAACAUUGAAAUCAAUAUCAAGCCCAUGGCCCUUCGCACAAUGGGGCAUGGACAUAGUAGGACCUCUCCCAGUUGCGCCUGCCCAAAAGAAAUUUUUGCUCGUUGCCACAGAUUAUUUCAGUAAGUGGGAGGAAGCUGAAGCAUAUGCUAGCAUCAAAGACAAGGAUGUCACCAAGUUCGUAUGGAAAAAUAUUAUCUGUCGUUUUGGAAUUCCCCAAGCCAUCAUAGCUGACAAUGGUCCACAAUUUGAUAGCAUUGCAUUCAGGAACUUCUGUUCGGAGCUAAACAUCCAGAAUUCAUACUCCACACCGCGAUAUCCUCAAAGUAAUAGGCAAGCAGAAGCCACAAACAAGACCCUAAUCACUGCCUUAAAGAAUAGGCUUGAACAAGCCAAAGGAAAAUGGGUCGAGGAGCUACCCGGCGUCCUAUGAGCCUACCGAACUAUACCCAGACGGCCAACAGGAAAUACUCAUUUCGCUCUCGCAUAUGGAAUGGAUGCAGUCAUUCCUACUGAAAUAGGUCUUCCUACUAUCCGGAUUGAUGCAGCAAAACAGAGUGAUGCAAACAUGGAAUUAGGAAGAAAUUUGGAUUGGACGGAUGAAGUGAGGGAAAGCGCGGCCAUCCGGAUGGUAGAUUAUCAACAAAGGGCAUCAGCACAUUACAAUCGCAAAGUGAGGCCAAGAAGCUUAAAAAAUGGUACGCUAGUCCUUAGAAAAGUUUUUGAAAACACUGCUGAAGUCGGUGCAGAGAAAUUCCAAGCUAACUGGGAAGGACCCUAUAUAGUGUCUAAGGCAAGUGAAAGUGGAGCCUAUUAUUUACAAAAGUUAGACGGGACUCCAUUACUUAGACCAUGGAAUGUGUCCAAUUUAAAACGGUACUAUCAAUGAAAAAGAGAGACAAAAACAAAUAGAAGAAAAAGACAUAUUUUAUUGAUAUGUAUCAAUGAAUGUACAAAGAGGUCUUCGGACCACGAAAAUACAAAAAAAAAUUACAACAAAAAGUUGCAAAAAGACAAAAGCUAUCAGGGAGCAGCCUUAAAGUUUCUUCUCUUCACCCGGAGGAAUUGAAGGGACAUCCCCCUUUAUGCCAUUCUUCUUCAUACAGCAGCGAUAACCGAAGAUGAAGGUGUCAUCCACUUGUUUUUGGUAGUCCGCUUCAAGUUCCUCCCUCUCUGCAGCAAACUCCCGUUCUAGCUCUUCUUUUUGCGCUGUUAAGCGUAGCUGCAAAUCUUCUUUUUGCUUCUUUUCAAUAGAAGCCUCUGUCCGGAGUUGCCUCACUUCCCCCCCCCCCCCCCCCCCCAUCCGGGCUAUCUCAUCCUCUGCCUCAUGCAGACGGGCAAUCGAUGAUUCCUCCCGGUCCUUAGCCUCAGCCAAUUUCGCCCGAAGGGCUUCAUUGUCCUCUCGAACGGUGGAUAAGCUGGCCUCAGCCUCCGCCAGUCUCAGGCGCAACUGAUCUUCAGCAUCUUUGCGCCGAGUGGCGAAGNNNNNNNNNNNNNNNNNNNNNNNNNNNNNNNNNNNNNNNNNNNNNNNNNNNNNNNNNNNNNNNNNNNNNNNNNNNNNNNNNNNNNNNNNNNNNNNNNNNNUUUUUUUUUUUAUUGUUCAAAAGAAAUCCAAAAGGGUUUUUUGGCCCCCGAAAAUAAAAAAAAAAAUUCACAAAAAAAGUUGAAAAAAAAAAAAAGUUUUUGGGGGGCCCCCUUAAAUUUUUUUUUUUUCCCCCGGGGAAAUAGAAAGGGCCCCCCCCUUUAUCCCUUUUUUUUUUAAAACAGGGGAAAAACAAAAAAAAAAGGGUUCCCCCCCUUUUUUUUGGGGAUCCCCUUAAAAUUCCCCCCUUUUGGGCAAAAAACCCCCUUUUAAUUUUUUUUUUUGGGGAGUAAAGGGGGGCCCAAAAUUUUUUUUUUUUUUUUUUUAAAAAAAAACCCUUUUCCGGGGGUCCCCCCUUUUCCCCCCCCCCCCCCCCCCCCAUCCGGGCUAUCUCAUCCUCUGCCUCAUGCAGACGGGCAAUCGAUGAUUCCUCCCGGUCCUUAGCCUCAGCCAAUUUCGCCCGAAGGGCUUCAUUGUCCUCUCGAACGGUGGAUAAGCUGGCCUCAGCCUCCGCCAGUCUCAGGCGCAACUGAUCUUCAGCAUCUUUGCGCCGAGUGGCGAAGGUCUUCAUAUAAUCAGUGGUCCGCAGCAGGUCAGUGAAAAGAUCGUAUUGAUUGGCCAUACCACGGAGACCACUCACCAGCUGCAGGCAAACAGACAAACAAGAAAAACAAAGUUAUAAAUCACACCACAAACACAUAUCAGAAUGAGAAAGAUUCAAGGAACACAGAAAAGUAUACCGACUCCACCAUCUCGAACAUCUUGGCUGAAGGCAUAAUACUGGUCAAGCUGGGUGGAAUCUGUUUCAGCUUAUCUUCCAACUCCGCAUAGCUAAAAGGGCUAGCGGAGGUGCAAGACGCAUCAUUAACAGGAUCCCCGCCUGAUGAGGCAACAGAAGGAGACUCUGGUUCCGGAUUCGGUGCCUUAACAUUUACGACCGAAUGGGUCUCCCCGGGUGCAACCUCAGCCGGGACCAUUACAAGGACGACUGGAGGCUCAGUUGUCAUCUCCACUUCGCCCCCCUCCGGAUGAGCGUCGUGAGCGGAUGAGCAACUAACUUCGAUCUCUUGUUAACGAUCUUGAAGCCACCCGAGGAGUCCGGACCUCUGAUUGCGCGCCGAGCGCGGCCUCUUCGAAGGUGGCCCCUUCACCAGAACAAGAGUCAGACGGUCCGGAUCGUCCGAGGGCUGACUCUGGCUUUCGAUCCCCGCUUCCUCCAUCGGGUCCGCACAAACGGCUUCAACUGCAUCGACAUCCGGAUUAGGGGAGUCCGGAUGGUUGAUGGAUGCAGCUUCCUCAGCCAGAUUAGCCAGACGGGCAACCGCUGCCAAUGAGGUACUUGAGUGGUUCAGCCCCACGACGUGUCCGGAACCGCUUGAGAUAGAAUGAGGAGCAGGGUUCACUAGCUCCUCUAUUAUUACCUCCGCCUCGUGGAUAAUUGGCGGAGGAGCAAAUUCUUUGGGAGGAGUGGGCUCCUUCACUCCCUUCCCAUUCUUCACCAGCUUCUUCUUUUUCGCUGGAGCUUUAUUUGGCGGAGAGUCUGCGUCGCAUUUCUGUCUGGGAGCCUUCCGAAGGGUCCCUUCGUUUUUCUUCUUCUCCUGAUUGUCCAAGAGCGCUCGGCGUUUUUCAGCGUCAGCCUCUUUUAACGCCUGGUAAAUCGGGAGAUCUUUCACAAUGUAAUGCUCCCCAGGCACUACCUCCUUUGGCAUCUUCUUGGGGAGAAUGUUGAUGACAUACUCUUGGGGCUCUUGGACGACCGCCAUCAGGUUCCGUGCAGUCAGCAGCAUCUUGCACUGCCUCUCCUUGGCGUCUAUUUCAAAACACUUGCUGAGACAGGCAAAAGACGCAUUUCCACCCAAUCCACGAGGUAGCCCCUUUUUUCCGGACCUACAUUAACAGCAGCAAAGGUUGACAAUACCAUCCGGAGAUAUCAACAAGAAAACAACAAGGUAAAAAUCCGGACAAAAGUCGCAAAGCAAACUUACCCGGAAUCGCUAAGGAAUAGUUGGGAGAGAAGGGCCUCACCGGAUGCCUCGACCCCGCCCACGCACCCCGGACCAUCACGUGUCUCUUCGCCCCUCCAUUCGUCGAGUCUGGCAGUUCCGUCACCAAUUGAAGGGAGGGCAGGUGCGCGGACAGGCUGAAGAUGUCAGUUUUCGCCUUCUUCAGCGAAUACACGAAAAACACCUCCAGCAGCGUGAGGUCAAGGUUGUACAGCAUGUUUAUGAUGUUGCAUCCCAUCAGCACCCGGACGAUAUUGGGGUGAAUGAAGACUGGUGGAAUCUUGGUGAAAUGGAGGAAUUCCUUGAACAACGCCGGCAGAGGCAACCGGAGCCCCGCAUAGAAUUGUUCCUUCGAGAAGAUGACGGUAUCUUGUUCAGCUUUCUCAGUAGAUACGACAUCUUUCCAAUUCAAAAAUUCCACAAUCACGCCAUUUGCAAUGCAGAAUCGAUCCCGGAACUCCUUUACGCUCAGUUUGUCUGUAGGUUUCUCAUGAGCGUCGCUGGAGUGGGCAGAUGAAGUAGCUUUCUGCUUUGAAGACAUUUUCUAGCCCGAGGUUGAACUGAAACCUACAUGCAAGAAAUGCAAUAGUCAAACACAGCCAACCAACCCCACAAACCCUAAACGAUAACAAACACUCGGAAAACCUCGCACCAACAGUAUACCUAUUCCAAAAUCUUUGACUCUACCCCAACAAGAAACCCCCGACCUACAAAAACCACAGGGGGGCAACUGAAACCCUUAAAACACCCAGUCACAAACAACACUCGCCCAAACAAGCCAACAACGCCAAAGCGUACAAAAGGAAAGAACAAAGCAUAAAGAAUACGUACCGAAUGUCAGAGAGAAGCAAAGGUUGCAGAUCGCAAGGCAAGCACCGUCAAAGCGCAACAAAUCACCGUAAAAAAUUCUAGGGUUUUCACUCAAAAGAAGCAACAAUACGCACAAGGUUGACGAAGAAAGCUAUCUCAGAAAAACGCAGUAGAAAAAAGCAACAGUGAGCACAGUAUGCUAUUUAUAGGGGGACAUCCCCUCGGAAAGCCAAACGUCCAACAAACGUCAUCAUUGAAACGACAUACUGCCUGGGAAUACCCAGAGUCGGCGGCUCAUCAUAAAUGCCUUUUUGGCUCUCGCACCCCCACUCGCCACGUGGCCCAACCAGACAAAAAGUCGAUUUCGGUUUCAAAAAACCAAUUAUUUUUAACCCGCCCAUUUUUGCUCGGGCAAAAUAGGCAAGUUAAAAAGGGGGGCAUUGUAGGGACCCCUCCCUCCGAGACACGUGGCACGCAUUGUCAUCCGGGUCAUCUUCAUCCGGACCUUCUCAUAAAGCACACAUGGCACGCUUUUCCGAACUACCUCAAGGAAGAUCAAACUGCACUUAUAAGCAUAUCAUCCGGACGAUUUACACAAUGCAUCUGAAUACAAUGGUCCGGACCACUAACUAAAGUAUAGCGAGUCUUACACGCUAUCACGACAACCAGCCAUGGCCCACGUCUCAGCACCUGCAGAGUGAAAGGACGGGUUGAGGUGACAACAAGUCACUUCCCACGAUCAUUCUACAUGAUCACUUCCCACGAUCUCUAAGCAGCAGCAUCACCUACCACGGUUUCUGACAGCCGCCAGUAGGGUGGCGAUGACCAUGCUGCCUCCGAAUGUCAUCAUGACAAACAUAAAAUAUCUCCUCGCCAUUAAUGAGAGGAACAGUACUCCUAGCACUAUAUAUGAACCUUUGCACGAAGAAGAAGGUAAUCUCCAGAUACCGAGUAAAAUGCCAACUGAUUUAUAUCUCCCUCUCUAGCCAUGGCUAACAAAACCAUCGGAGGGUGCGUCCGGACACUCUGUCCGGAUGCCUUUUUGCAGGUAUAACGACUGAAUCAAGAACCUUUGUGUGUUGAGAUCGCGUCUCCAUCCAUUUGGCAACUACGUGGAAGCCCAGGAGUGCGAGGUAUUAACAGACAUAGGACACGAAAGCUACAGGAAAAUGACAUUAGAUGAGAUUUUUCUCAAUUUGGAAAGCGGAUUAUACAAUCUUUUCCAUAGUUUGAGGCUAAAGAUAUUUUGAGCUUUAACCCUCGCAAUUGUUUUGAUCAUGUUUAAGAAAAUUAAUUAGAUGUGUUGAUCUAAUUCAAAUCUUCAAUAUUGUACCAACUUAUAUUGUAAUUAAGUAUUUUUGCUUUCUUUCUUUAGAAUUUUCCCUAAACCAAACACAACCUUAGCUAUUUGUAAUUCUACAAACCUAAAAGAGUUGAGAAUCUAAGCAUGAGUUUUUUUUUUUUUCUCUUUAUGGAAAUAGAAAAUCUAGUGGAAUAAGUGGCGAUUUUGUACCAUACCAGGUGUACAAAAUCUUUCCAAAUAUACAAAUUUGAAAAUAAAUUUAUUUUUAUUAAUUUAAAAUUUUGAGAAUACGACCCUUAUUUUAUCUUCUAAUUUUUUUAAUAAUUAAUAUCUAACAAUUAAUUAAGCUUAGGCUUUGAUUUGGGCAUAUGACACAUGUCAUGAUCCUAUUUAAACACACAGAUGAUAUGUCAUAAUUAGUAACAGAAGGAAUUUAAAGAACUUUAAUAUGUUAAUAAAUGAACAAAAUUUUAAAUUUCUUAUCUUUUAAAAAAAAAUUGCUUUAUUUAGUUUCUUUUGAAUGGACUCUAUAUGACAAUUUUUUUAGUGGAAUAUUUAUCUUGGAUUUUAUAGAACAAAAUUUAAAAUGUUUAAUUGAUAAUAUAGGAUCAUAGUUGAAACAAUAAAAUUUAUUUAUCACUUAAAAGAAUUAAUUAAAUAAAUUUAAUAGAAUAAUAAAAAAUUUGUUAGGAAUAUUUGAAUUUGAAAAACCUUUAAAGAUCCAAAGUUUGUUAUGAAAUAUUCUUAAUAGUUUUUUUUAUCAAAAAAAUAUAUACUAACUAAAAGUUUGAAGUACUUUUUAUAUGAAGAACACAGCAUUACAAAAUAUCUUCAAUAUUCAGGUACAGCAUGAAUAUUUUUUUAUUUCGUAAACAAUACGUCAGACUAUAGAAAACAACAAAUGAAGCAUCCAGAGCAAAAUAAUAGACGAGUCAGAGUUCGCUGAGUUGGGACAUUGAAGAAAGGAGUGUCUAGGGUCUAGAGAAGAGCUUGGGUGAUCAUUUUGUCCAAGUUCGAGAAAGACGACCCAUUGGGACCUCUAGUGGCCUCUUCUGCUAGAGCCUUCCACUCCAAGGCCUUCUUCUUCAACUCUUUGCCUUUCUCUCCCUCCAUCAACUCCUUCACAAGCCUUUCAAUUUCAUCUCUCUUAACGUCGCUGUCUAUCUCCAUGCCUAUGCCCCACUCAGUGCAACAGUAGCGGCAGUUGGUUUGCUGCUCUGCAAAAAAGGGCCAACAAAUCAUAGGCACUCCAGCGCUCACACUUUCAAUUGUGGAAUUCCACCCGUUGUGAGUUAAGAAGCCGCCAACAGCCGGGUGACUGAGAACUUGCUCUUGAGGACACCAACCUGCUAACAGACCCCUCUCUUUCGUCUCUGCCACGAAUUCUGGCGGAAGAAUGGCCGCGUCACCGGACACAAGAUCUGGCCUGAUUAUCCAUAAGAACGUCUGAUUGCUAUUCACCAGUCCCCAAGCAAACUCAUUGAGUUGCUGCGAUGUCAUGACCGUGACGCUCCCGAAAUUCACGUAAACAACAGAGUUGGGCUCUUUGGAGUCCAGCCACUCCAGACAUUCCGGCUCUUCUUUCCACAGAUUCGAUUCCAUCAACUUCAAAUCGUUAUCUUGGAUCUGACUCAUGAGUUUGUGCAGGGGACCGAUGGUGUAGAUUGGGGGAAACAUCUGAGAAAGUGCAUCCAAAACUUCAUGCUCUAGAGCAUCAAAUGUAUUGAAAAUGAGGGCAGAUGCCUUGCGAGCUCUUUCAGCCUCCCGCAAUGGAAAUUCCAGCAUAAUGUCAUUUGGGUCCGUCGUUCGAAUGAAGCUUGGGAUAUCCCUCAAACGGAUACCUUUCAUACCCGGUAUCCAAUCAAUAACGGUAUCCAGAUACCCAUUUGUUAGGUAACUCUCAUCUGCAUUUCAUAGAAAGGAGGGGAAAAAAUAUGAGAAUCCGUAUUGAGCUUAGCUUUGAAGUAAUUAAAUGCAAAGUUGGUCAGUAUUUGAUUCAUUUGAAUGAUACCUUUGAGUGGAGCCAAACCCUUAUCGAUAAGAUUGCGAUAUUGCACGUAGCCCAUGAAGCCGCAAGCACUAGUUGUCCAGAAAAGAACUUCAGGAACGCCAAGCUCUUGAGCAGCAUCAAGAGUGAAGCUCAUGGCGCCAUCAGAAACUAUGCAAGUGACUGGAGGGCCAUCGUGGUUGAGGUUGGAAAGAAGGUCUCUAAAGGGAGGCAGGCAGUGUUUUGUGGUGGAGACACAGAGAGCGGGAGUGUCUUGGGUGGCAUCAACAUUGGAGGGAGGGAGACCAUCGGGAAUGGUCUUGAAUUGGAAGGAGGGGAUGCCUUUGAGGGAGUCUGGACCCCGAGAUUUGAGCAGGCGGUUAUGGUUGUACUCUGUGUUGACAAAGGUAAUGUGGAACCCUCUGAAAUGAAGGAACUUUGCUAGUUUUAGCAUAGGGUUUAUGUGGCCCUGUGCUGGGUACGGUAUGCAAACUGCAUGUGGCUUCUCAGCUGAGGCUAAGGAACCCAUUCUCUCUUUCUCUCUCUCUCACUUUCACUCUGCUCUCAAUUGGUAUAUGCCCAUGACAUUGGAAGUAGCUUGGGUUUUAUAGCCCCAGGAGAGAGGGUCAAACACUUUACUUAUAUAUAUAUAUAUUAAAGUCAGAAGUCAAAUAAAUGCUGCAAUAUUAAUAUAUGUACAGCUGUAUCAGAGAGUAACUGAAGGUCAACUUGGCUCUCUCCUUUAUCUAGGUUAACCCACCUGUCCUCCAUACUUCACGGCAGGUGCCUAAUGCUUUAAACACUUUACUUAUAUACAAUAUUAAUAUAUGUACAGCUGUAUCAGAGAGUAACUGAAGGUCAAACUUGGCUCUCUCCUUUAUCUAGGUUAACCCACCUGUCCUCCAUACUUCACGGCAGGUGCCUAAUGCUUUUCAUAGGAGAUGUACAACAAAUUCAAUAUUUACACAAUUAUCAACUUUUUACUUUUAAGCAAUCCAAGAUUCCCAACGAUAUAUGAAUACCUAUUUUUGUAAUGCAGUAGGAUCUUGACAAUCAAUUACUCUAAAAACUCGUUUCAAGUUGUCGGAUGUCCACACCUAUAUAUUAUUAUUUAUAGGUGUGCGAGUGGAUGAGAAAUCUAUUAUACAUGAUGUUAAUGGUUAAGUCGGACCCAUUCAAACAAAAGAUGAAAUCGGUAUAUAUAAUGGAAACAAAGAGGUGCUAAUCGGGACUUUUCUCAAUAGUAUAGUAAUUUUAAAAAGUUAUGCUUAAAUUAUUAUAGUAGAAGAAGUUAUUAUAAAUAUAUGGUAGUUUUUGCCACAUAGGAGAGAGGAGAGAGGGUGAGAGAGAGGAGAUAGGAGAGAGGAGAGAGGGUGAACGGAUAAAUUUUUUAAUUCCAUGAAAAAAAAAAUUAUAUUUUUUUAAAAAAAUAUAUAUUCUUUUUAAAAAAUUCCUAUUUAUUCAAGGGAACUCGUCUCUUCAAGAGACGAGUUCCAUGAAAAAAGACAAGGGAAAGACGAGUUACCAGGGAAAAAAAUAUAUAUAUUUUUUUUAAAUAUAUUUUUUAUUUAAAAAAAAUCCUAAAUUAAAUUUAAAAAAAUUUCCUAAAUGGAACUCGUCUCUUUGGGAAAUUUUUUUUUUUUUUAAAUAUAUAUAUUUUUAAAAAAAAAAUAUUUUUUUUUACAUGGGAACUCGUCUCUUGAAGAGACGAGUUCCCUUUAGGAAUUUUGAGGAUUUGUUUUUUUUUUUUAAUAUAUAUAUUUAAAAAAUAUUUUUUGUUUUUUUACAUNNNNNNNNNNNNNNNNNNNNNNNNNNNNNNNNNNNNNNNNNNNNNNNNNNNNNNNNNNNNNNNNNNNNNNNNNNNNNNNNNNNNNNNNNNNNNNNNNNNNAAAAAAAAAUAUAUUUUUUUAAAAAAAUAUAUAUUUUUUUUAAAAAAAUUCUAUUUAUUUAAAGGGAAUUGUCUUUUCCAAAGACGAAUUUCCUGAAAAAAAACCAGGGGAAGGGGGGUUUCCCGGGGAAAAAAAAUAUAUUUUUUUUUUUAAAAUAUUUUUUUUUUAAAAAAAAUCCUAAAUUAAAAUUUAAAAAAUUUUCUAAAAGGAAAUUGUUUUUUUGGGAAAAUUUUUUUUUUUUUAAAAAUAUAUAUUUUUAAAAAAAAAAUUUUUUUUUUUUCAAGGGAAAUUGUUUUUUGAAGAGGCGAGUUUCCCUUUGGAAUUUUGGGGAUUUUUUUUUUUUUUUUUAAAUAUAUAUUUUAAAAAAUUUUUUUUUUUUUUUUCCAGGGAAGGGACGAGUUUCCUUUGAAAAUGUUUUUUUUUUUUUUUUUUUUUUUUUUUUUUUUUUUUAAUUUGGGAUUUUUUUAAAUAAAAAAUAUAUUUUUACAAAAAAAUAUUUUUUUUCCCUAAAGGAACUCGUCUCUUUUUAAUUUAGGAUUUUUUUUAAAUAAAAAAUAUAUUUAAAAAAUAUAUAUAUAUUUUCCCAUGGGAACUCGUCUCUUCAAGAGACGACUUCCCUUUACGAAAUUUUUUUUUUUUAAAAAAAAUAUUUUUUUUACAUGGGAACUCGUCUCUUGAGGAGACGAGUUCCCUUUAGGAAUUUUGAGGAAUUAUUAUUAUUAUUUUUUUUUAAUAUAUAUAUAUAUAUAUUUUUACAUGGGAACUCGUCUCUUGAAGAGACGAGUUCCUUUAGGAUUUAUUUAUUUAUUUUUUUUUAAUUUGGGAUUUUUUUAAAAUAAAAAAUAUAUUUAAAAAAAAAUAUUUUUUUCAAGAGACGAGUUCCCUUUAGGAAUUUUUUUUUUUAAAUAUAUAUAUUUUUUUAAAAAAAAAAUUUUACAUGGGAACUCGUCUCUUGAAGAGACGAGUUCCCUUGAGGAAUUGUUGUUGUUUUUUUUUUUUUUUUGGGAUUUUUUUAAAUAAAAAAAAUAUUUUUUUUCCCAAAGGGAACUCGUCUCUUGAGUUCCUUUAGGAAUUUUUUUUUUUUUUAAUUUGGGAUUUUUUUUAAAUAAAAACUAUAUUUAAAAAAAAAAUAUUUUUUUUCCCAUGGGAACUCGUCUCUUCAGACGAGUUCCUUUAGGAAAUUUUUUUUUUUUUUAGAUAUAUAUAUUUAAAAAAAAAAUAUUUUUUUUUACAUGGGAACUCGUCUCUUCAAGAGACGAGUUCCCUUUAGGAAUUUUGAGGAAUUGUUUUUUUUUUUUUUUUUUUUUUUUAAUAUAUAUAUUUAAAAAAAAAAAAAUUUACAUGGGAACUCGUCUCUUGAAGAGACGAGUUCCCUUUGGAAUUGUUUUUUUUUUUUUUUAUUCAGGAUUUUUUUAAAUAAAAAAUAUAUUUAAAAAAAAAAUAUUUUUUUUCCUAAAGGGAAUUUUUUUUUCUUUUUUUUAAUUUGGGAUUUUUUUUCCCAGGGAACCCGCCCCUUCAGACAAGUUCCUUUAGGGAAUUUUUUUUUUUUUUAAAAAAAUAAAAAUUUUUUUUAAAUAUAAAAAAUUUUUUUAAAAAAAAUUUUUUUUUUACGGGGAAACCCGUCUUUUGAAGAGACGAGUUCCUUUUAGGAAUUUUUUUUUUUUUUUUAAUUGGGGAUGGUUUUUAAAAAAAAAAUUUAUUUUUUUUUUUUAAAANNNNNNNNNNNNNNNNNNNNNNNNNNNNNNNNNNNNNNNNNNNNNNNNNNNNNNNNNNNNNNNNNNNNNNNNNNNNNNNNNNNNNNNNNNNNNNNNNNNNGGUCCCUUUGGAAAUUUUUUUUUUUUUAAUUUGGGGUUUUUUUUAAAAAAAAACUUUUUUUUAAAAAAAAAUUUUUUUUUUUCCAAGGGAAAUUUUUUUUUUACGAAGGGUUCCCUUUGGAAAAUUUUUUUUUUUUUUGAAAUAAUAUUUUUUAAAAAAAAAAAAUUUUUUUUUCCAGGGAAAUUGUUUUUUCCAAAGACGAGUUUCCCUUUGGAAAUUUUGGGAAAUUUUUUUUUUUUUUUUUUUUUUUUUUAAUAUAUAUAUUUAAAAAAAAAAAAAUUUACAUGGGAACUCGUCUCUUGAAGAGACGAGUUCCCUUUGGAAUUGUUUUUUUUUUUUUUUAUUCAGGAUUUUUUUAAAUAAAAAAUAUAUUUAAAAAAAAAAUAUUUUUUUUCCUAAAGGGAAUUUUUUUUUCUUUUUUUUAAUUUGGGAUUUUUUUUCCCAUGGAACUCGUCUCUUCAGACGAGUUCCUUUAGGGAAUUUUUUUUUUUUUUAAAUAUAUAUAUAUUUUUUUUAAAUAUAUAUAUAUUUUUUAAAAAAAAUAUUUUUUUUACAUGGAAACUCGUCUUUUGAAGAGACGAGUUCCCUUUAGGAAUUUUUUUUUUUUUUUUAAAUUGGGAUUGUUUUUAAAUAAAAAAUAUAUUUUUUUUUUUUAAAAAAAAAAUUUUCCCAUGGGAACUCAUCUCUUGAAGAGACGAGUUCCCUUUAGGAAAUUAUUUAUUUAUUUAUUUAAUUUGGGAUUUUUUUUAAAUAAAAUAUAUAUUUAAAAAAAAAAUAUUUUUUUUCCCAUGGGAACUCGUCUAUUCAAGAGACGAGUUUCCUUUAGUUCCAAAUUGUUUUUUUUUUUUAAUUUGUGAAUUUUUUUUUUAAAAUAUAUAUUUUUUGUAAUGGGAACUCGUCUCUUGAAGAGACAAGUUUCCUUGAAGAAUUGUCUUUUUUUUUUUUUUUUUUAAUUUGAGAAUUUUUUUAAAAAUAUAUAUAUAUUUUUUUUCAUGGAACUCGUCUCUUGAAGAGACGAGUUCCCUAAUGGGGAAUUUUCUUUAAAAAAUAUAUAUUUUUUGUUUCAUGGAACUCGUCUCUUGAAGAGACGAGUUCCCUUUUUAAAAAAAAUUUAUCCGUUCACCCUCUCUCCUCUCUCCUAUCUCCUCUCUCCUUUCUCUCACCCUCUCUCCUCUCUCCUCUCUCCUAUCUCCUUUCUCCUCUCUCCUAUGUGGCAAAAACUACCAUAUAUUUGUAAUAACUUCUUCUACUACAAUAAUUUAAGCAUAACUUUUUUAAAUUACUGUACUAUUGAGAAAAGUCCGUGCUAAUCGCUAUGAAUUGAAGACAAAAUGCAUCCACCCCAUUCAGAAAUGUUGACCAUAAGAUGAAAUAAAAUAUUUAGAGAAGAUAGAUUAAGGGCGGUGACAAGAUUGAGGGGCUUAAAAGACAUGUCACUGAGUGAUGCUAAGGGCGACCGAAAAAAAGAAAUCUUAUCCCUGUGAGAGAUUCCUUGGGCGGUCUGAAUGUUUUUGCUGGCUUCCUUUGCCAUUCUUUCACGUACCUUAUGUUCGCAUUCCUGGAAAGACAACUCCCAUCUUCAUUCUUUCUUUUCAUGCAAUCAUUAUGAAGACCACAAACUUCAGUAUUGUACGGCUCUAUUUGGGUCUAUAUUUUCUGGUCAUUUUCUUGAUCCUUCCGUGAACCAUUGGAACGCCAUGGAGCUUAACUUCUUGUUUUUUUAAUAUAAUAUAAUAAGGAAAAGUGUGACAACCUCUAAAACAUGAACAUCAAAUGCAGGUAAGUUAAGACAUAGGACACGAAAGCCACAGGAAAAUGACAUUAGAUGAAAUAUUUCUCAAUUUGGAAAGCGGAUUAUACAAUCUUUUCCAUAGUUUGAGGCUAAAGAUAUUUUGAGCUUUAACCCUCGCAAUUGUUUUGAUCACAUUUAAGAAAAUUAAUUCGAUAUGCUGAUCUAAUUCAAAUCUUCAAUAUUGUACCAACUUAUACUGUAAUUAAGUAUUUUUUUCUUUCUUUCUUUAGAAUUUUCCCUAAACCAAACACAACCUUAGCUAUUUGUAAUUCUACAAACCUAAAAGAGUUGAGAAUCUAAGCAUGAGGUUUUUUUUUUUUUUUUCUCUUUAAGAAAUAGAAAAUCUAGUGGAAUAAGUGGCGAUUUUGUACCCUCAUAUGAAAUGGACCUUGUUAGAGUUUGGGAUGAAAACACGUCAAUCCCAUUCCAGGCCCACCUCAUCGCAUUGGCUAAAGAGGUUACAGGGAACCAAGUGGGGGUGACCUUAGAUGGGCCAAGUUCAGCCCAAGGUUGAUUUGCCCUAAAAUCACAAGACCAGGGCCCGAUCAACGCAGUUGUAGAUUUCACAACAGCGAUUAUCUUUAAGUAUUUGAUAUUAUAUAAUGGAAAAUUUUCUAAUUUACAAAAUGAUCAUGCGUGAUUUUACUAAAAAAUAGAUUGGAAUUUGGGCAUGAUCUUGGUUCAAUGUAUCAAGGAGAUUUUCCCCUUUUUCAAUGAUCAUGUAGAUUGCUGUUUUCAGUCAACAAAUACGGAUUACUAAAAAACUUUAAAACUAAAAAAUAUAAAAAUAAAAUAUUAGAUUUCACUUUGCUAAAUCACACUAAUUAAAAAUAUAAAUUCAAGAAAUAAUUGAAAAUACGAUGAGAGUAAAUAUUUAAUUUUGUUAUUUUUAAGUUUUUUGUUUUAAUUGUAUUUAAUUUUUCAACUAUUUUAGUUUUAAUUGUUAUAUUUAUUUUUAAAAUUUCUUAUUUUAUUGUUUAUGUCAACUAACAAAUUUUUUAUUUAAUUUAUUUUUUAAAAAAUAAGAAGAUGAAUGGAUUUAUUUAUUACAAGAUAUAAAAUCAAGAUAUUUUUUUAAAAUUAGGAUUUAUAUAAUACAAGAUAAUUUUUAGAAUUUCAAACAGAUUUGAAAAUCUAUUCAUAUUAAAGUUAUUUGCCCAUAAAUACAUCUCCAUAACUUCAAAAGAGUUGGAGAUCUAAAUUUAUUUAGAGUGAGUUCAUUUAAAAGAAAGCUUAAAUAGCCACAAGCAUUCAGGGGUUAUUGCGCCGCUUGCAAACAUGGAUCAUGUUGUCAAAGGUUGUUGCAUUGUAUUAUAGACAUGGUAUAGGAAGAGUAUAAAUAAUUUUUUUUAUAUUAUAUUUUUGGGAAGAAUCCUGUAAAUUUAUUUUAUUUUAUUUUAUUAGUUUUAUAUUUUUGGGAAGAAUCCUAUUGAGAUUGUGCUAAUGGAGUCUCAUUCCUUAUAUAAGUAAAAUCCCCUUCCACUUUGAGUCUGUUCUGAUUACAAGUAGAGUCUCAUUGGGAGUGUACAGGUCACCCCUCACUCUCUAAAUAUGAAUACCAAUUUUUCAAGAUAAUUUUUUAGAGAGUCUUUUCAUACAUCUAUUUGGAGGAAUUUUUUUUCAAAACUCGAGCCGUACAUCUCGUUUAUGCAAGAUCUAACUGUUGAAUUACACCGAGUUCGUCUUUGAGGAUGGUGAAUCUAUUUCAAGAAUAGUAUUUGUCACGCCUCAACCUAAGUUUUUCUUUUUAUUAAUUUUGUUCUUAUUUGUGUCUUUUGCACUAAUCAUUUGUUUCCAUACCUUUAAAUCUAACACAUGGAUCAAGUUGUAAAUUAAUAAACAUGCAUCACGUUGUAAGAGGUUGUUGCAUUGCAUUACAUAUAUUCAUCAAAUUAUAGGUAUUAAAAGUGUCAUGUAGAUGUGUAUAAAUUUAACUUUGAUAUAUAUACAAAAUUUAUUUCCAAAAUACUUUCCAAAAAGUUUUUUUAAACACGUCUGAUUUGAAUAUUAAUAUUCAAAGAAUAGACUUUGAAGGAGGUUUGAGUUUCAUGAAGGAAAAGAAAAACACUUUCCAAAAAUUCUUUUAUAAGCACGUGUCAUUUGAAUAUUAAUAUUCAAAGAAUAGACUUUGAAGGAGCUUUGGGUUUCAUGAAGGAAAAAAAUGAUGUUGGAGAGAAGACCGCUUCUAAUACCACCAGGUGUGCAAAAUCUUUCCAAAUAUACAAAUUUGAAAAUAAAUUUAUUUUUAUUAAUUUAAAAUUUUGAGAAUACGAUCCUUAUUUUAUCUUCUAAUUUAUUUAAUAAUUAAUAUCUAACAAUUAAUUAAGCUUAGGCUUUGAUUUGGGCAUAUGACACAUGUCAUGAUCCUAUUUAAACACACAGAUGAUAUGUCAUAAUUAGUAACAGAAGGAAUUUAAAGAAUUUCAAUAUGUUAAUAAAUGAACAAAAUUUUAAAUUUCUUAUCUUUUAAAAAAAAAUUGCUUUAUUUAGUUUCUUUUGAAUGGACUCUAUAUGACAAUUAUUUUUAGUGGAAUAUUUAUCUUGGAUUUUAUAGAACAAAAUUUAAAAUGUUUAAUUGAUAAUAUAGGAUCAUAGUUGAAACAAUAAAAUUUAUUUAUCACUUAAAAGAAUUAAUUAAAUAGAUUUAAUAGAAUAAUAAAAAAAUUUGUUAGGAAUAUUUGAAUUUGAAAAACCUUUAAAGAUCCAAAAUUUUGUAUAACAAGAAUUUAAAAGAUUUAAUUGGCAAUUAAGAAUCCUAAUGGCAAAAGGAUUUGAGCAAACAAAAUUUAUUGGCAAUUUUUUUUAUAAAAAAAAGCUGAUAUAUUUAAUUUAAUAUUUAUAAAUUCAAGUAUUAAUAAUAUUUGAAUUAAAAAACAUAAAAACAAAAAAAAAACAAAACAAAACAAAACAAAACUAAACUGGAAGACUUAUAUUUUGAAGGGUUUAUGUUGAUUGGCUUUCAAACACCACAAAAGUUUUAAUUUGAAUCUUGCAGAUUUUUGUGUAGAGCAAAUUAAAAUUUUGAUUGGUCGUUUAAAUUUCAAGUGUCACAAAAAAGUUUUGCUUUAAUUUAUGUAAGUGGCGCCGAAUUUAUUUUAUUUUAUUAUUUUUUGCUAUUCAAAAAUGAGUGAUGUUAGAAAUAUGUUUAUAAAUAAAGUAAAGAAUUAAAUAGGAGACUUCAAUCAAUGAAACUACAUCUUUUAAAGUUAUUUCAUAAAUCUAUUUCUUUAUUUUCUUCUUUUUUUCAUUAUUUUCUUUUCUAUUAUCAACCGUAUAAAAAGUAUAUGAUAAACCUACACUUUUAUCUUUUAUUUUAUUUAUAUGUAAUAAAAUUAUACUUUAAUUUUAUGGUAACUUUGAUUUUAUAUUUUAUUUAUAUAUGAUAAAAUUAUACUUUGAUUUUAUAUUUUAUUUAUUUUAUUGAAGCGCAUAAACAUACGUGGAUAUCAAUUAGAAAAUAUGUUUUUCUUUCUAGUAAAAAAUUAUUUAAAAAAUAUCAUAAUUAGAUAUUAUGAAAAAUAAGUGCAAUCCUCAUAACUGAAAGUUAUGAGAUAAAUAACAAAAUUACAAGUAUACAGUAUGCAUAUGACUUUUAAUUACUUUUUAAUUAUAUUGUAUAAUUGGAAGUCAACAAUAUUGUGUAGGUAGAAGCUAUAGAAUGAAAUAGUUCAUAACCUAAAACUAUGUAUAAAUUUACACAAUGAAUUCAUAACAUGAAGUUAUGUACAAAUUUGCUCAAUAAAUAGUUCAUAACCUGAAAUUAUAUAUAAAUUUAUAUAUUUUUUUUAUUCUGACAAAAUAAUUUGAAGUUAUAAAAAAUAUUAAUUUUUAAUUUCUAUUUUGUAUUCAUACACUUUUAUCAUAUUUGUAAUUAACAACAAAACAUAGCAAAAUCUUAUAUCAUUAUAUUUUUAGACAUUAUUUAUUUGAUAAAAUAUUGUUAAAUAAUUUUAUUAAUUUGUUUAUAUUUUAUUUCAAUAAAUUGAAAUAUUUUCUCAUUAAAUUAUUGCAUAUAUAGUUUUCAAAAAAUGUCAAGCUUGACAAAGCUUAGGUUUGUUGUCCUUGAUAUUUUAAGGCAAAAACUACUUAUCAUAAGUUCUAGAUACUAAAAUUCACCUAAAUGUAAUGAAUCUUGGAAAUAUUACUAAAAAGGAAAAUGACACAUCCUUGCAUAAUUGUACCAAAGCUUUAAUAUUCCUUGUCAUCACAUUAACGAAGGAUUAAAAGAUGAAUACCUUAUGGUAAAAAUUCCUUUCAUCAUUUGGAAUAAUCUAAGUGAACGAUAUGACCACCAAAAAAUUACAAUCCUUCCAAAAGCAUGUUAUGAUGGGAUGUACUUGAGAUUAUAAGAUUUCAUGUUUUUUAGUGGCUACAACUUAGUUUUAUUCAAAAUUAGCUCACAAUUAAAAUUAUGUGGAGAGAAAGUCAUUGAAGAAGAUAUGCUUAAAAAGACAUUUACGACUUUUCAUGUUGUGAAUGUACUCCUAUAGUAGCAAUAAUGAGAGCGUCGUUUCAUUAAAUAUUCAAAAUUGAUUUAAUGUUUUCUUAUGGUUGAACAAAAUAAUGAGCUUUUACUGAAAAACCAUCAAUCUCGUCCUAUUGGAUCUGUGUCAUUACCUAAAGCUAAUGUCCCAUAUGUCCAAACUUCUGAACAUGGACAAGAACGUGGAUAUGGAUAAGGUUGAGGUAGAGGAUGUGGUCGCGAUUGAGGUCCUAGUAAAUACAAUCCAUCACAUUGAGUUAUAGGUUUUUUUUUUUUUUUAGAAUCAAUCAUUUUAAUUGAUGUAUUAGUGGACCUUUAGGUUAUAGUUUGGACAAAUGUGUCAUUGGCUUCAAGCAAUGACACGGUCCCAACAUGAUGAAAUUAAUGGUUUUUCGGUAAAAGUUCCCUAUUUUGUUCAAUCAUAAGAAGACAUGAAAUUAAUUCUAAAUAUUUGGUGAAACAACGCUCUUAAUAUUGUUGCUGCAUGAGCACAUUUGAGGCAUGAAAAGUCGUAAAUGUCUUUUCAAGUAUAUCUUUUUUAGUGAGUUUUUCUUCACAUAAUUUUAAUUGUGAGCUAAUUUUGAAUAAAGUCAAGUUGUAAUCAUUAACAAACUUGAAAUCUUAUAAUUUCAAGUGCAUUCGAUCAUAGCAUACUUUUUAAAGGAUUACAGUCUUUUGGUGAUCAUAUUGUUCCUCCAAAUUAUUCCAAAUGAUGAAAGGAUCCUUGAUCACAAGGUAUUCACCUUUUAAUCCUUUAUCAAUGGGAUGACAAAGAAAUAUUAAAGUUUUUACGCAAUCCUACAAGGAUGCGUCAUUUCCUUUUUUUUAAUAGUGUUUCUAAGAUUCAUUACAUCUAGAUGAAUUUUAGCAUUCAUAACCUUUUAAUCCUUUAUCAAUGGGAUGGUGAAGGAAUAUUAAAGUUUUGACAUGAUCGUGUAAGAAUGCGUCAUUUCCUUUUUUAAUAGUAUUUCCAAGAUUCAUUACAUCUUGAUGAAUUUUAGUAUUCAUAACCCAAGAUAAAUAGUUUUUGCCAGAAAUAUUGAGGGUAACAAAUUCAAGCUUUGCCAAUUUUGACAUUUUCUAAAAACUAUAUAUGCAAUAAUUUAAUUAGAAAAUAUUUCAAUUUAUCAAAAUAAAAUGUAAAAAAAUUAAUAAAAUUAUUUAACAAUAUUUCAUUAAGUAAAUAGUGUCUAAAAAUAUAAUGAUCUAAAAUCCUGCUAUAUUUUGUUGUCAAUUAUAAAUAUGGUCAAAAUACGUGAAUACGAAAUAGAAUUUAAAAACUAAUUUUUUUUUAUAACUGCAAGCUAUGUUUAUUUUGUUAGAAUAAAAAAAUGUACAAUUUAUAAAUAGCUUCAAAUUAUGAACUAUUCAUUAUGCAAAUUUGCACAUACCUUAAGGUUAUAAUCUAUUCAUUCUAUAGCUUUUAACCAUAUAAUGUUGUUUUAUAUAACUUUCAAUUAUAAAGUAUAAUUAAAAAGAAAUUAGGAAUCAUAUGUAUAACUUCUUACUAUAUAUUUGUAAUGAUGUAAUUUACCCCAUAACUUCUACUUAUGAGGAUUAUAUAUAUUUUUUAUAUAUAACUUCAAGUUAUGAUCUUUUUUCAUAAUUUUUUACUAAAAAAAAAACAUAUUUUCAAAAUAAUAUCUGCAUAUGUUUAUGUAUUUAUAUACGAUAAGCAAAAUAGAAAAUCAAAGUAUAAUUUUAUCACAUAUAAAUAAAAUAGAAAAUAAAAGUAUAGGUUCAUCACAUACCUUUCAUGUGAGAAAAAAGUUUUUCUGGCAGCAAAUUCAUCACUCUUUGUUAUCAAAAAGUUUUUCUAAGGGGAAUAUAAGUUGCUCGAGUUGAUCUUCAAUAAGUAGUUUAGUAUGCAUAAAGUACUUUUUCACGUCAAUCUCUCCUUAACUAAUCAACCAUUGUUUAAGAUAGAUUGUAGAGAGUUUUAUUGAAGUCUCAAUAAGACCAUUAACCAGUGCAUUACAUAUGGAAGAGUUGUAUUAUUGUUUGAAUUCAAAGUUUUCAUAUAAUUUGUGCAUCAAAUUGUUAUAGACAUUAUUUUCAUUAUUGGUAAGAAUUUAGUGAGGAACACUACAUAGAUGCUAGUCCAAAGGAAGUUAAUAGUUGUUUCAUUAUUAACUUCCUUUAGAGUCAGUUUUGCCCAUUUGAAAAAACAAUCUAUAGCCACCAAUACACAAAUGCCUGAUCAUAUGAAGAUUUUAGUCUAAUUGAUCAUAUGAAAUUAAUUAAGUCCUCAUGCAUCAAAGGACCCAAUGCCACCCUUGGAUGUAAUGGCUCUAAGGUAGUAUCUCAUUCUCUUUAUUUAUUUAAAAACGGAUUAUACCAUGUCUAGGCCAAGUAUAAGAGCUAUUAUUGGAGUAGUUUCUUGUAAGGUAAAACAAUACGGGACGAUGUUUCAUUUAGGAGUAACAAAUCCAACCUUGAUACUACUCACUCACAACAUAAUUAUUUUAUUUAUUUAAUUAUUAAAAUUUAUUUAUUUAUUUUGAAUCUCAUAUAGAUGAUAUGCGAAAAUUAGUGAUCGAAUAACUACAAUCAAAUAAUUUGUCAUACUUGUGCAAUAAAUUACUUUGUAAUAUUUUAUUAAUAAUUUAAUAAAGCUUUUUAACAUUUUUUUUAAUAUAAGAUCAGCAUAAAUGCCAACUGUUGUGACUUUCUGAAACGGGCCGAUUAUUCGGCCUGUCAUAGAGUUACUUUCUCUUUUCAGGUCUUUUGGGUUUGAUGAUUUGGAGUGGGUAUGAUAUGUAGAACACUUGAGAAAAAAAAAAAAAUUACGAUUAAGAAGAAAUUAGAAUAUCCACACAUGUACAAUCCACUAAAAGUCAACCUUGUCAAACAACAGUUGAGCACUGCGAAGUAGAAGGGUCAAGCACUGCAGGUAGGAGGUAUUUCCUGCUGUUUACACCCAGCGCAUUAUAGCUCGCACCGGUGCUGGAAUCCACCAACAGCUCUCCGGCGUAUCCCGGAUAAGCUCCUUUCCCAUAAAUUCCUGGGCAAGCUGAAGCCACCUCCAGAGGCGCCUCAGCUGAGCCCUGGAAAUAGCCGUUUCCAAAAGGGUUGGUUACAGUUCCGGCCAGAAGAGUCGCUAUAUUUUCGACCAUGCCAUCCAACCCCACGUCCCCGUUGGGUGCAAUCAGUGGUGUUGUCUGUGGUCCGUAGAUGGGUUGGUGGAAGGGCCACGCGCAUUGGCCAGGGCACUGAGUCUCCGAGUUCCCAACCCAGAUGAAGGCUGACCUCUUUCUAGCGUCCGACCCAUGAAACCCGCAGUUGCUCAUACAGAAGCCUUCAACUGCAACGUCUUUUGCUGUGAGAACCAGAGUUAACCCACUGGAUUUGGAGCUUACAGCACGAGCCAACUCGGAAAUCUGGGAUUUCUUGAGGGUUUUGCCCAUGGAACAGGACUCAUCUGAGAUUUGAUUGGACAGUUCAAUUUGGAUCUCCCUUUUGCCAGCCUUUUUCAAGUAGGUUUGGAUAGUUUUCCACCACUGCGAGGUUGAAGGUUUUUUAGAGGAGAGAUUCUCUGGUUGAUCAUGUGGGUCGAGGGAGAGAAGAAAGUCUGCAACAAUAGAUUUCUGAGCCGGUGAGAAUUGUCCGUACCAAAGAAUUGAUACUGGGAGAUGUCCUUCAAGCAAAGCGCCAUUAUGGUAUGUGAGAGCCAUGGGUGGUGGCUGGUACAAUGAAGUUAGCUUUCUUGCGCAGAAACACGGGCUAAUGAAGAACAAGUGAAAAAUAACAACGACAACAACAAGAGAGUGUGUUUUGAGGGAGAGAGAGAAAGCCAUUUCAGAGAUAAACUAAAGAGUGUUGAUGUUCGAAUAAAGGACAGAUAGUUUAAAAUUUUAGAGAGAAAGGUUUUGGCUUGAGUGGUGUGAGAGAGAGUCAGGGAGUGGUGAGAGUAUAUGUAGGCGGGAAGGUGCAUGCACCGUGCCGAUAAACUGCCCUUGUACCUUUCAUCACCAGCUUAGCAGAUAAAAAAAUUAGAGAGAUCACGAGAAUUUGGAAAGAUGAGGUGAACGGGGAACAUCUGGCAAGAAUCUCUCUCUGUGCGUAAAGUAUUUUUUGUAUAGAGAUUAGGAGACUCUGCUGACGCUUACAUCGAUUUCAUAGAUGGUAAUGUGGCAUGCAAGGAGGGAAGUACAACCGCGACUCUUAAUGGACAAAUGGGUGGAGCUAUGGGCUGCAUGUGUUUGGAGCUGUUUCCUAGGCAGUUUCACAUUUCUUCUUCAUUAAUUAUAAUCUUUUUUAAAAGAGGAUAACUCAGAUUAAUUCAAUUGAUUUAAGGGCACCCCAACAAUUAAGAGCAUGUCUUAGCCAAGAGAGAAAUGUCCCAUUUGUUCAGACUAAAGUUGUCCACAUCAACUUGGCUUUGUCUUCUAACAUCUGCCUGAGGGCUCAGGACCUCGUUGUUGUUGCAUAAUAAUAAGUGUUUUGCAGUACUGCUGUUGGGGAUUAUGAUUUUGGUGUUUUCAAAACUCAUGUGUCCAAAUGGAGGUAGCCCAGGUUCAUAUGUACUGUAGUAAUGAUCAGAAGUCUAUCCUCAUCUAACAUGCAAUGCACUUGCCCAUACAUCAUGGGCAUUCCGAAAGUUUAGGUUCAUAUUGCAGAAAAAAUGAUGGCAGGCACUAAGCUUGCCAUGCUCUUGUGGGUCCUAAUGUUAUGUCACAUGCCUCUCUUCAUUGGGAGUGGGUGGGGUAGCUAUAAGUUGGGUAUUCUGCAAUCAACCUGGGAUAUAUAAACCUAUAGCCCAUUUCCUAUAUGCAUGUAGUAUAGUUGAUUACACAGCCUAUCCUUUUGGAAUAGGCUUUAAACUCACCUAACCAACACGGAUUAAAUUUCAUCAGCAGUACAGUCCCCUUGGCCGGUCCGUCAAAGGGUUCCCCAUCAGAGCAGUUGAAUUAAAGCAUCUCAUUAAACAUUGUUAUGGUCAUCAUUUGAUUUGACCUUUGACCUAAAAGGUUCCUUCCCAAACUUUAGUUGGAGAAUAAUGAUGGAAAUCAGAUUAAGAUUAGGAUCAAUCGAAUUGGGAGUCAUAGGAAAAAUCUCAUGAAAACAAACUGACUUGUUUUAAUUAUCCACAUUUGCAUAUCACUAAUCUGUUCGAUCUACUCAAAAGAAAAUUCAUUUAAUUCUAAAUGCAUCCCAGCGAAUUGAGACAAUGACCACACAAUGAUCACAUGUAUUUUUACUUUUAUAGCAGUCACAAACACGCUCACAUGACCCUUUUUCUAGUGUGAAAGCCUGGUACUUGGUCGGCAAGCAGACUCUGGCAAGAAAAGUGGAAUCAUCCAUUUCUUAGAGGGCGUCCGAAAUCCAAAUAGACCGUGAAGCUUACAUUUCCCAAGCACCACUCGUGCAGCUUCAAUAUUAAACUAUUCAAACUUUCAUUAAUUGGUGAAACCAUCCUCGCAAGUAUAGAAAAUAUAUGUUGAACACAUCAACUAUCAGCAGACAGGCUGGUUGCUCGGAUCGAGUUUAUUGGAAGCUGGUGGCUUAGGAGAUUAGAGGGUGUCUUCUGAUGAUGCUACGAAUUUGAUAUUGAAAAUGUCACGAUGAUAGCUUUACUUAUUCAAUGGACGCCAAAUUCAUUAAGAAAAUGAUAGUCAAUUUGUCGCCCGUCUUCUACACAUGAUUUAUGAUCAAACGGCUUAAAUUUCAUGAUCAUGAGUCAUCAUCAUUAAUUACCCUUGAACCUAGAUUUUGAGCACUUUGAAAAUGCAGAAAUAAUGGGAAGAUUGACUGUGUGAGUGUAUUAUUGAUCUUCCAGGAAGGUGGGGCAUUGACUGUUUUACAAGCAUAUCCCACAAGGCUUGCUGCCAUCUUCUCAUACAGGAAUGAUUUUUUGGAAAUGGCUUUGAAGUGAAGGCAUCUAUGUUGAAUGGGGGACAGGAUAUACAGACCAUCCAUAUUCCUCCGGUCUCCUGCUUACCUGCAUCAAUGACUUGUAACUUCAAUAAUUGUUUUUUAAAUUUCUUUCUUCUACAAACAACUUUUUCCCUUUCUUAUAUUUGAGAAUUUGAAGAAUGUUCAAAACUAUUACCAAAAAUUACAAACUAUUAUGUUAUUUAUUCAAUAAUGUUGCAUGCAGGGAUGCCACCGGGUAUGUUUUUUUGGAUGCUUGUCCUUAAAAUUUAAAUAAUAAGUUGGGGACGGAUUUAUGAUUAUUUUUUAAAAUUGGGAUGGAUUCGGACAGGUUUAGAUAUUGUUUGUCCCACCUGCCUGAUUAUUUUUCAAAAUUAAUUUUAAAUUUUAAUUUAAUUUUGAUUUUCCCAUUUUAAAAAUAUAAUAAUAAUAAUAAUAAUAAUAAUAAUAAUAAAUUACUUUGUGAUAAAAUAAGGUAUAAAAAUUAUAAUAUUUUAAUUAUUUAUAAAAUAUAUUUAUUUUAAUGUAAUUUAAAAUUUUAAAUAAAAUAAAAUAAAAUAAUUUUACAAAAAAAAGUUAAAUAGACCUAGUGGGGCAGAAGAGAGAAAUGCAUACCUAUUUUGUCCAUCCCUUCUAUUUAAUUUUUUUAAUUGGACUGAAAUAGGAAUAAUUUUGAAUAAGGGGAAUGGAGUCGGGAUGGGAUGGCCGCCCGUUACCAUCCCUGGUUGCAUACUUGCAUGUAAAUGAAUAUAAGGCAAUAGCAGCAAUUCCCACACUCACCGAAUAUUUUUCAAAUAUUGGUUCAUCCUCUGCAUGUUGGUCAAGUCAGAAUCCUUUUCUUCUGUGUAUGCCCUGGCGCAGACACUUUAAAAUUUUUUAAAUCAUUCAAGGUCUGUUUGGUAGUUUCCAUUUUGGAAAACAAACAGUAUUUUUUUUAUAUCUAAACAUAUAUGGCCAUAGAAAUGAAAACAAACACAAUUUUUUCUUUAAUUAUUUUUUCCUUUUGAAAAAACUAUAUAGUCUAUAUUUUAUAGUUGAUACUUUCUUGAAUCUCAUCUCUCAAGAAAAUAUUUCUUUUGGAAAAAUAUGAGGAUAUCGUUAAAAAUUUGAAUUGUAAGACAUUCAAAAAUUUUCAUUUGAAUUAUUAAGAAUUUCUUAUAUGGAGAAGAAGACCACCAUUUAUAAUAAUACAUGAAUUAUUGGUUAAUUUAGAUGCUUAUCCAAUUAGCACCUCAAUUUUUCUUUGAGUUUGCAAUAAAUUAUAACUUUUAGUUGACCAAUGUAUUAAUAUGAUAUUAAAUUAUCAAUUAAUUUAAAAUUUUAAUUUAUUAGGUAAUUGAUUAAUAAUAUAUUGUAAAAUAAUGGAGAAUUUAUAGAAGCCAACCCAUCAAUUUUCACCAGACAAGCUGUUUUGCUUAGGAUUAUGCAAUAUCUUCCCAUAAUAAAUUAGAAACUAUUUGGAUGUUCAGCACUUAAUUAGGUUACAAAAAAUAGCUUAAUUUUCAUUGGCCGUGGAUGAAUCGCUUAUCAAUAAUUAGUCUCUGGAGCCUGAUUUUCAGUACUUUCAAUCAGAGAAAUAGCAAGAUUGACUCAGUCGAGAUAUUAGUUGUGUUAUUGUCCUUGAAUGAAGGGAGGGCAUGAACCCUCAACAUAUCCACAAGGCCUGCUUCCAUCUUCUCAUACAAAAAUUGAUCUGUAAAUUGCUUUAAAAUGAAGCAGUUAGGUUGAAUGGGGGACACGAUGUGCAGGCCAUUCAUAUUCUUCUGGUCUCCUCUUCGCCCGCAUGCAUGACUGGUAACUUCAAUUAUUGAUUUCCAUUAAUUCUUCUUGCGAUAUAUAUUUUUUUCCCAUCUCUUCUAUUUGAGGCUUUUAAGAGUACCCAUAGCUUUAGGAAUCAAAAUAAUUCAAAAACAAACAAACAAACAAACCCAUCCUUCCAUGUGAAUGAACAGCUUCCAUAUUCUUCCAGCUUCAAAUUGAAUUUUAGAUUCAAUUAAUUGAAAAACUAUGGCAUACUUUCAUGCCCAUCAGACAUCCAAGCAAGAAUGUAAUCUUGCUCUGAUCCAAAGGGAUGAGAAGAUGAGUGCAAAUGGACAAGUACAGCUACAAGCUCUCCACAUUACAGACAAAAAGAAUCCCUUAUGAGGUGAAAGUCAAGAAAAUGAGCAAGCAAUCUAGGCUUAGAUUCACGAGACACACCACCCGUGCCCCUACAAAGCCAUAUUAAACUGAGGAUAAAGCCUGCACCACCACCAGACACGGCGUCGAAUUUAAGAAGAGUAAUGCAAAUGGAUGCAUUAUCAAAACAUUUCAACGUUAUUAAUAUAUAGAGUUGAGAUAAGGUAGUUUUAUAAUCACAUGGAUUAAUUAGGAGUGAAUGCCUCGUGGCCCGUGGGUGCUAGCUUUUGGAUAAUGUUUUAAGAUAUCGUUGCCUGGCUCGUGAAUUCUAGGUUUUAGUCUUUUAGAUAGGGUGACGACUGGCCUCCGCCCUCCGCCCUCCGCCCUCAGCUCACCUUUCUCUUUACUUUGAUUUCCACCUAAUUUGUUUUUAUCAGGCACAAAUCCAAAGUCCAACUAAGAAGCUUCCAUUCACUAUGUCAAGCUAUCCAAUAUCAUCAUCAUAGAUUCAUAGCUUCCCUUGUCUAUUUCUUGGAAAAAUCUUUCAGGAUUUCAUUUAUUUUAUAAGAAAUUUAAUGUUAAAAAGUUGUAAAACAGUUUAAUAAACCAUACUUAAUUGCCACAAAACACCAUUCAUACGUCAUUCAUAUUCUAAUUAAAAAAAAAAUAAUUUCUUCACUGAGAAUUGAGAUUGCAAACAUUGUUUUGAUGAAAGAAUGUAAAAUUAUAUCGAAAACGAUGGGAUAAAUUUUUUUAUGCUAUUCUGAAAAUCAUUACCAUAUCAAAUUAAAAAUAUAAAUUUAAAUAGGAUUAAAAUUUUAACUAUGAGUAACUUUAAAUUUUCAAAUGUAAUUUGAGAAGUAAAAUUUAAUUUAAUAUAUUCAUUUGUAUAUCAAAAUUAGAAAAAAAUAAUCUUUCACAACAUGUUUAAAAUUUAUGUCUAAAUUAAAAAAAUUAUCAGGUACUUAUAAAUUAUUUUUCAAAUCAAUACUCCAUUUAAAUGAAUAUAAUGAAUUUGCUAUUUAUUAAACUUUCAUUUGGGUACAUUUUUAUAUUUUUACUUAAUUUCUAUCUAUAAAAUGUAGAAACUUUAAUAGAAAAAAAAUUACAAAUUUAUUUUUUGUUUUAAAAAAUUAUUUUUUAAAAUUCUAAAUUUUUAGAUGGUAAUUUUUUUUAAUACCUCACAAUUUCCAAUCAAUUUUUAGAAACCUUUUAAGAUUUUUUUUAAUAUUUUAUAUGUAAGUUACUAUUGUUUUUUGUUUUUUGUUUUUAAAUUACAUCUAAUACACUAACGCUCAUUUAGACGCAUUUCCUUCUUUUUUUUUUUUUUUUUUAAUGAUAAUAACUUUUACAACAUAUUAUAAUAGCUCCUAUGUAAAAGAUAUACACAUUUCUUGUGAUUUUUUAAAAUUUUGAGAUAAUAAUUUUUUUAGUGGCUCUAAUUUCAUAAACAAAUUUUUAAGUAAAUUUCUUGUUACAGAAGUUAUUAUUUUAUGUUUCUAAAAUAAAAAAUUGACAAAUGUAUCCAAAGUACUCAUUUACAAACUCCAUCUAUAUCAACAUUUGGAAUAACAAAAAAUAAAUUAAUCUGGGUCUUUUGGUCACAUUUUUAUUCUUUUAACUUAAAAACAAAUUUAAGAAAACAUGGUUAAAUGACCCAUGUUUUCCUUUUGAUUUUAAAAAUUGAUAAAAAAAUUUCUACUUAUUUUUAAAAAUUAUUUUUAAUUUCAUUUUUUUUAAAAAAAAAUUGUUUAUAAAGAAGAACAACCAAAUAUUUUUUUUUUUAAAUAAAGCUCUUUUUAAAUCACCAUGAAACAUGCUUUUAUUUACCACAAAAUAAAAAAACUUUUAAUUUCUUAAACAGUUUUUCAUUUAAAAAAUUUAUCCGUGUAUAAAUUUUGAAAUUGUUAGGAGCAAUGGCUUUUAAUCAUUUUGAUGACAUGCCCCAAAAUCUAAAAUUUUUAUUAAGCAAUUAAAAUAUCUCUGAGAGAUAUUUUUGUUCAAUGAAUCAAUGGAAUGGAGUGCAUGAGAAGAUAUUCAAAUGGUGUACAUGAGAAGACAUAUCAUGUUUGGUUCAAUGUUGGGGAUUAGAAAUGACAAUGAAACGAAUUGUCUCGUCCCGUCUCCAUCAUUCAAGCAUAGUAGUUUCAUUCCCACCCAAAACGCCAUCCUUACCCUGGACUACACAUCUUACUUACCCUCCACGCCUUUUACAGCUCAGCUCUCUCAUAGACAAUGAUUGGCAUCAUUAUUUGGAAAAGAAAAAGGCAGACAAUAAUCAUCGAGACAAAAAUUAAUAAAACAUAUGUUAAAAAUCCAACCUGUAAGGCUGUAACCCACCAAAAGUCCCUGAGAAGGUGCAGGGGAAAUGCUAGUAUGAUUUUGUGCACACAGUUGAUUGAGGAUUGCCAUGAAACUUAAUGUGUAAGUCAAAAUUCUAACCACUACGGAAAUAAAUCUUAAAUGGAAAAUGAAAAAUGAAAAAUAUUUGAAUAAAAGAUAUGUUUGGAGAAACAAGUCUAUCAUAAUUCUGCAUUGGUAGCAUUAUUUGGAAAAAAAUAUAAACCAUGGCUUAUCUUUUAUUAACCUGCAUUGCUCAAAGCAGUAGUAACCAAUUUUUUUUUCUUUAUUUAGAUUGGUCAAUUUUAAAUCUUGAAACACGUAGCCCCACACGUGACCAGCAAAAUGGCUUGGUACUAGGAAAAGCAAUUUGUGCCCAAAACGUGGGAGUAACAAAAUGGGUAUGAGACUUUUAGUUUUAGUCACUGGGGAGAGAAUUUUGGCAGCAACAAGUUUCUUCUUUCUUAACAUUACAGUCUUACAGAGUAAACUUAGGGCCAUGCUACCAGGGAGAGGCAAGGGAUUUGGCCCCAAAAUGUACGAUUUUUCUUUGUUAAAUCAAUGCAAACAACUAUCACCCAUUAAUUUUAAUGAGUGAAAUCAUUUUACUCCAGAAAUCAGAAGUUGCAAUAGAGUAGUAAUAGAAGGCGUUCAUAAUUUUGGGUUUAAAGUGGGAAGUUAAUUAAAAUUUGGGCAAAACGUGCUUACUGGGGGUAGUGGGCAAUAAAGAAGUGAAUAGAGGUGGUAGGGGAGCUGUCAUCCAGCUGGACUCUCAAAUGCAAAAAUGGGUAUUCGUUUAUCCCAACUCACAAGUCACAAGUCACGAGUAGUAUGUGAAUUGGCAAUGGCAGCUAAUGACUCAUGAGAAAUGGCAGAGCGCGUCAUCUCUCCUUCUCGCCUCGGAUGCUCACUGUCACACUGUUUCCCCACUCUUUUAUCAACCUCAAGGUCCCAAUGCUGACUGCCAGUUGGAUCGUCCGCGCUUCCCGAUAUUAUUUCUAUAUUGAGCCCCAAGCCCCUUCCAGCCUGUCACCUUUCCUACCUUCUCCAACGUCUCUCUCUGCCUUUUUUGCUUUUCCCAUUCAAUGCCCUUCACUCUCUCCACCGCUACGGCUCCACAGUACUCAUUCUGAGGCCUACUUUGGUCAAAUCAAAAGUCCUCUCAAACUGUAUCCAAGCUGUAUUUAGGUUUUGUCCUGUAGCUAUAAAAAUUGAAAAGGAAAGGAGAAACUGACUUUAACAGGGGCACUCCUCUGGAAACUUUUAAAAAAGUGCCGGCUGGCAUUGCCCUUUGUGUUCUUAAUGCAUACAAAAGUGCAAAUGGCUUUGUGAUUUUUCUGACUGGAGCGUGUUAUUUGGGGCCUCAGGUUUUUUAUAGAACCGCGUUGGAGAGUACCGUUGCCUCUCUCAAACUUCAACUGCCCCUUGCAUCUUUCUGAGCAGGUUCGAACGAGGCCCCACCGCACAGCCCACUCCUUCGAUUUAAAAUUGUGACACCAGACGGUCUAUAUAUAGAGACUCACACCCCUCUUGUCUCUACACAGACUCAAAACCACAUCAGCAGCCUCUCCUCCUGCUUCAUUUUCCUUGUCCACAACAUUUCUCUAUCUGCGUUCUAAAUAUGGUUUCUUUUAUCUCUAUACGCCAUUUUCUGCCAUUCCUCUUUGUGAUCUCUCUGUUCCAUGUGAGCUAUGCUGCGAGGAAGCUCAAUGAGCUGGUACAACAGCAGCCUCUGCUCUUGGAAUACCAUAAUGGCCCUCUCCUCUCUGGAAAAAUCUCUAUAAACCUAAUCUGGUACGGCAAAUUCAAGCCUUCCCAGCGGGCUAUCGUUUCAGAUUUCAUUACCUCCCUUUCUUCUUCUUCCCUGUCUCAGGACCAGCCUUCCGUUGCCACCUGGUGGAAAACCACAGAGAAGUACUACCACCUCACCUCCAAGAACCCAUCUUCACUCAAGCUCUCCUUGGGCGAACAAAUACUCGAUGAGACCUACUCGCUCGGGAAGUCACUCACAGGGAAGCAAAUCGUUCAGUUGGCUUCCAAGGGUGAACAAAUGAACGCCAUUAACGUGGUUUUGACCUCCUCUGAUGUGGCCGUGGAAGGGUUCUGCUCCAGCCGCUGCGGGACUCAUGGAUCUUCUUCGAGUUCCAAGAAUGUUCAAGUCAAGGGCAAGAACUACAAGUUUGCAUACGUCUGGGUUGGGAACUCUGAGACUCAGUGCCCUGGCCAAUGCGCCUGGCCCUUCCACCAGCCCAUCUACGGACCCCAGAGCCCACCGCUAGUCGCACCGAACAACGAUGUGGGUCUGGAUGGCAUAGUCAUAAACUUGGCUAGCCUCUUGGCUGGAACUGCGACCAACCCUUUUGGAAAUGGCUACUUCCAGGGUCCGGCGGAGGCGCCCCUAGAAGCUGCAUCGGCUUGCCCUGGGGUUUACGGGAAGGGGGCAUACCCUGGGUAUGCUGGGGAUUUGUUGGUGGAUUCAGUGACUGGUGCUAGCUAUAAUGCCCAUGGUGCCAACGGGAGGAAGUACUUGCUUCCUGCCUUGUAUGAUCCUUCUACAUCCUCGUGUUCUACUCUGGUCUGAAGCAGAUUAGUGUCUUGACGACAGAAACUUCGUAGAAUUUACAGGCCUUAGAAAAAUCCAGAGAGAUACUGUUAUUCAUUCAUUUAUUUGUUCUUCCCGUGGUAGUUUCAAUAAUAUCAAAGCAAAUUGGUUUGGUUUGCUUUUUUCACUUGAAUGCAUCUUUCCAAAUUACAAUGCCUCAACAUGAAUGAAUGAGGUGAUUUGUUGCAGUGUUGAGGAUAUUCCCAGUGAAAUGGGUUCUACUCAUUGAGAAUUACUUUAAUUACUCUUAUGUCCUUCCUUCUCAGUGGUUGUACCUGUGCCAGCGCUUAAAGCCGUGUGCAGUAUGUAUAAAGGCGUGGCAUAUGGAAUUUUAUCUCUUAACAGGGUAUUGGAUCACAAGCACCCCCAACACAAUCACGGGAUUGAGGCGAAAUAGACAUAAUAGCAUCCUCCCACGUAGAAAUUGUUGACUUUGAUCCUCAAACAAGAAAUUGUUAAUACCUAAAUAUAAGAUUCUAACAAUUUUAAACGGAUUUACAUAAUUAAGAAAAAUUUAUACAUAAUUAAAAAACGUUUAGUCACGUCUAAAAUUUCCCGUUGGAUAGAAUUAUUAUUUUAUCAAGAGCUUUCAUACAAUACCAAUGCCAUUUAAUGUGCCGAUAAUAAUAACAUUAUCUUAGCAAUGUAUAAUAACAUUUGGCACUUUCAUCUUUACGUUUGCCUUAAUGAGUAAAUUACCAAUUAAAAAUAUUGCUAAGAAGCUCUAAACGGCAUUUUGCAUUGGAGAUGCUCUAAAACAUGUGUUAAUCACACAUUUCUAAGUCUCUUAACUCUGGAUCUACUUCAUUAAAUCAGGAAUUGUGAGGUUACCAUUAAUAGUGAAAAAUGAGACACACACUUCCCAAUUAUCUUACUAUUAUAACCUCGGAUUCUCCGCCGGCUUGGCUGAAUCUAAGUACUGGGUGUGAGGGUUUAUAAGUGGAUAUACUCAAGGCAACUAAGCCUUUUUUUUUUUUUUUUUUAUGAAGUGAGAUCUUAUACUUUGAAAAGCAUUGGAAGAUCAACUAAAUCUAUUUUUCUACGGAAGAAGUGAGAUCUUAUAUAUAUAUAUAUAUAUAUAUAUAUAUUCUUGUUUUGUAUAAGUGGAUAAUUUAUUUUCCUAAGAUAAUUUAUUCCUAAGAAAAUCUUACUUCAAGUAUUUUAUGGAAUCUAAAAAUUUAAAAUUUUUAUUUUUAUUUAUAAUCUAAAUGUUAAAUAAAAUUUUAAUAUUAAUUUUAUAAUUUUAUACAAAUUUAUGAUUUCUCAUUUUAGUAAGGGAAAUUUUUUUUAAAAUUAUAUAAAUAUGAAUUUUUCUUCAUUAUUUAGAAGCCGUUAAUGUUCUUUUGACUCACACGCAUAUAAUAUCUAUCCGAUUAAAAUUGCACCAUUAAUAUGUUUGUAAUAUCUCAUGUUAAUGUUCUUUUGACUCAAACGCAUAUAAUAUCUAUCCGAUUGAAAUAGCACCAUGAAUAUGUUUGUAAUAUCUCAUAUUGAUCGGGGAAAAUAGAAGAUAUUUUUUUAUGCAAACCUCCACAACCCGCUUAAAGAACGAAGAAUCGAAACCAUUUAAUGUACGCGUCCGGACAGAUAGUAAUGGAGCAGAGCCAUUUCCAUUUCUCUUUCUUCAGGUAUGCACUAACCAGGAAGCACCCAACUUUCUCCCUUCCCAUUUUCCUUGUUGGAGUCAGCUGUCUUCAGUGUCCGUAUCUAGUUUUUGUUCCGCUAUCACACUCCUUUUUGUUCCGCUAUCACACUCCAUCUAGUUAUGUGCCAUAAUUCCCUUUGUCAUAUUCUGACGGAAAAACCAAUUAAAUCCUUAAUCAUCAAGCUAAAACAUUUGUUCUUUGAAACUACAAAUUUAGGCUCUAUGUGGACCCCGCAUUUCGGCUUAAUGCGUUUCCCACUCGAUGACGAAACUCGAUUUUUAUUUGAAAAAAAUUGAUUUUUAUUGAUUAAGAAAAAUGACUUGGAGUCGUCACUUAUUUUUGUUUUAUUUUUAAAGGGUAAACAAAAUAAGAAAGAAAAACCCUAAGUGUAACUCCUUAUUUUGGAAAAGGUGGUCUGUGAAAAACCGGAUCGGGUUCGGGGGUUAGGUUACUUAUCGGGAAGGUACGGUAAAGACCAUAGCACCCCUCUAAGUCCCUAAAAACGGGUCUCUACUAAUAAAAUGAAGCUAACAUGGCAACCAAUGAGAAAGUCAAUGAAUACUCAAAUCGAUCAUGCACGUAUGAGUAUCAGAAUAUGCAAUAGAGGAUAACCGAAGUGAAAGUGGAUGCGUACCUGAUCAGCAAACGGCAACGCGCUGAAAGAACCCUUUUCCAGUAAGGCUCUGUUUAGCUGUCAAUGCCUUCAAUCCUCCUCCAAUGUCGACAAAGCCAACCAGCUUACCCUUCUGAACAGCACCCCCUCCUCCUGCAGCUCCAAUGAACCCCUCCGAAGCUCCCUUCUCCUCUCCAGCUCAAGAGAUCACUCUCUCAGCCAAAAGAUUUCUCCUCUGCCCCAAAAACUGCAAAACCCCCACAACCUUCCAAAAGCAACCUCACUUUCUCAGAAUCCUUCCUCCCUUCCUGCCUCAAAAUGACUAAACAAAAGCUCUCCCCUCAAAAGAUCUCUGCAGCCUCCAACUUCUCUCUCCCCUCGUUUUUCCCCUCAACCCUCCGUGUCAAGAUAUCUUCACCUCUUUUACUAAAAGCCCAUCUCUGAAAAGCAUCUCCCUCUCUGAAAAAAAAUCCCCAACGGCAGCCCAGACCCCUUCUCCUGCAGCUGGCCUGCUGCUCCUCAACAGAAACGUACCUCCUCUCUAACGGCCAGAAUAUCUCCAUGCCACGUGUCAAACUCUCACUCGCUCCUCAAUUCCACCAUCUGUUUCUAUGACCACCAACCACGAGGCGACACGUGGCUCCUUGAGAGCCCUCCACCUGCAAAGAAUUAUAACCUGUAGAGAUGCAAAGGAAUGAGCCCCAAAUGGGGGUCUACACUCUAAUAUUAAAAUUUAUUUUUAAAAUAAAAAAAUAGAUACUAUAUCUAUUAAUGUUUAUUACUUAUUUUUAAGAGUUUUGGGUCAAAAUGGUCAUUUUAAAAAAAAAAAAUUGUAACAUCUAACCACUCUUUGAAACUUAUGUUCAAAUUAGGCUCUUUGGUACCACGUAGACGCCGUCUUCAUUAAAAAAUAUUUUUUUCAUCAUUUUAGUUAAAGUCGCAGUUGAUAAUCGCGAUUUCAUUUUUGAACUAAAGUCGCAGUUGGCAAUUGUGGCUUCAUUUUUAAACUAAAGUCGCAGUUGACAAUUGCAGUUUUAUUUUUGAAAAAACUGUAGUUGUCAACUGAGACUUUAGUUAAUUUUUUUUUAAAAUUUAAAAUUUAAUUAAAAAUUAUUAAAUUACAAAUUUAUGAUUGAAAAAUUAAAAUAUACUUAAAUAAUAAAUUAUUUAUAUUUAAAUUUAAAAAUCUAGUAUUACUUCAGCAAACAUAAAUUGAUAAAUAGAAUAUAUUAUAAAUGAAUAUUUUAUUUAUUAAUAAAUUAAUAAUCUUAAAAUAAUAAACUUGUAUAACAUAUAAAUAAUAUAUAAAAUUGUAUAAUUUAUUAAUUUAAGAUAUUUAAUUUGUUGUUUUUUAAAAUAUUAAUUUAUUUGUAUUAUGAUAAAUUUAUCUUUAUCGAAAUAAUUGUAUACUUUUAAGCUGCAAUUGAUAACUAAGAUUUCAAUUAUAAUUUUUUUUACUUUCAAAUUUAAUUAAAAACUAUUAAAUUACAAUUUAUGAUUGAAAUUUAAAAAAUAUACUUAAAUAAUAAAUUAUUUAUAUUUAAACUUAAAUUAUUUAUAAGAACAUGUUCAUAUUUAAAUAUAAAUAAUUUAUUAUUUAAGUAUAUUUUUUAAAUUUCAAUUAAUUUUUAAUUAAAUUUGAAAGUAAAAAAAAAAAAUUAUAAUUGAAAUCUCAAUUAUCAAUUGCGGGUUAAAAGUAUAUUAUUAUUUUGAUAAAGAUAAAUUUAUCAUAAUACAAAUAAAUUAAUAUCUUAAAAAACAAAAAAUUAAAUAUCUUAAAUUAAUAAAUUAUAUAAUUUUAUAUAUUAUUUAUAUGUUAUAUAAGUUUAUUAUUUUAAGAUUAUUAAUUUAUUAAUAAAUAAAAAUAUUUAUUUGUAAUAUAUUUUAUUUAUCAAUUUAUAUUUAUUAAAGUAAUACUAGAUUUUUAAAUUUAAAUAUAAAUAAUUUAUUAUUUAAGUAUAUUUUUAAAUUUUAAUCAUAAAUUAUAAUUUAAUAAUUUUUAAUUAAAUUUUAAAUUUUUUUAAAAAAUUAACUAACAGUUAACAAUUACGACUUCAAUUAAAAUGACGAAAUUUUUUUUUAAUAAUAUAAUAUUUAGGUGUUACCAAAAAAAAUCAAUUUGAACAUCAUAAGUCUCAAAGUGGCGGAUGUUACCAUUUUUUUUUUUUAAGGUUCAUUUUGACCCAAAACUCUAUUUUUAAAAUCUGGUUUUCAAAACAAUCAUGGAGGAUGAUGAGUUGUUCUCCAAAGACGUUCAAAUAAAUGUAUUUAUAAUUUAGAAAAUGGUAAAAAAAAAUAACAAAAUGGAAGAAAAAUAAUAAAGAAAAGAAAAGUUUGACGAUGAUAAAAAGUCACCCCUAGGCUCUUAAUGUCCUUAGCUGUAAACGUAGGGUUUUUGAUUUUUCACAGCGAAAGACAGAUCCGCACUCAACCAGAUUAAUUUCGAACGCGCUAUUGAGUAUUGAGCUGGCAUUUGCUUCGCUUUUCGCCUUUUCCCUUCCUUCUCGGCACUUUCAUUCAUACCCUCCCCCUCGCUCCUCUCACGCUGUUGGUCACACUCUCCCCACUGCCUAUUUUACUAUAUAUAUGAAACCCCCAAUUCAUCUUCUCCUCACUCCAAAGUUCCAAACCCCCACCAAAGCCAUCUAUCUCUACAGCUUAGCUUCACUGCACUCUAAAGUCCUAACUACCAUGGCAUCUUUCGUUCCUACUCAAUGCCUUUUACAACUCCUCUUUGUGGCUUCUCUGUUUCCAUUCAUCUCAGCAGCCAGGAGACUUGCUCAAGACCAGCAACCUCUGCUUCUUCAAUACCACAAUGGCCCUCUUCUUUCCGGAAAAAUCUCCAUUAAUCUCAUCUGGUACGGAAAGUUCAAGCCUUCCCAACGCGCCAUUGUUUCUGAUUUCAUUACCUCCCUCUCUUCCUCCAAAACCACCCCCCACCAACCCUCUGUUGCGGCGUGGUGGAAUACCAUCGACAAAUACUACCUCCUCAUUAAGUCCAAGAAAUCCACCUCCCUCGGUCUCUCCCUAGGCACCCAAAUCCUCGACGAGAACUACUCUUUGGGUAAAUCACUGACCAGUCGAAAUCUCAAACAGUUGGCAGCAAAGGGGCAGCAGAGCAACGCCAUUAACGUAGUCUUGACAUCUUCUGAUGUAGCCGUUGAAGGGUUCUGCUCCAGCAGGUGCGGAACACAUGGGUCUUCUCCCAGCUCCAAGACUGCUAAGGUUAAUGGCAAGAUCUCCAAGUUCGCAUACAUCUGGGUGGGUAACUCCGAGACUCAGUGCCCAGGUCAAUGCGCAUGGCCAUUCCACCAGCCCAUUUACGGACCCCAGAGUCCACCCCUGUCCGCACCCAACAACGAUGUGGGUAUGGAAGGUAUAGUUAUGAACCUGGCUAGCCUCUUGGCUGGAACUGUUACGAACCCCUUUGGAAAUGGAUACUACCAAGGUUCCGCAGAGGCUCCCCUGGAGGCUGCAUCGGCUUGCCCUGGGAUUUAUGGGAAGGGCGCGUACCCUGGCUAUGCCGGAAAGCUGUUGGAGGAUCCCACCACAGGUGCUAGCUAUAAUGCCAAUGGUGUGAAUGGGAGGAAGUACCUGCUUCCUGCAUUGCUUGAUCCUUCAACUUCCACCUGUUCUACUCUGGUCUGAUAGACUGAUACUACUAUGCUUCUCUAAAUUCAUUUAGUUGUAUAGCACGGAGAGGAUAAGCGAUUCUUUGUUUGUAUUUGAUUAAUUACCAUUAUGUAUUCUUUUUCCCGUCUGAAUAAAUGAAAUUCCAAUGUUUUCUUUCAUAUCCAAACCAGCUCAGCCUUCCUCUGAUAUUUUUUCUUCACAUCCCAAUCCCAAUCCCAACAAAAGCCGCACUGCGCCCUCCUCUGCUAUUCAAACUCGUCUGUGGUCAAAAUCAUUAAUGAGAUCCACCAUUGGAGAAAGCUUUAUAAUAAGGAAAGUUUUAAGCAAAACCUUUAGGACAUGGAAUGAUCUGCUGCUUUUCUCGUCCUAUAUUUUUAAUUUUUAAUUUAAGACUUGAUUUUCCAACCUCCUCUACAUGCCAUCAUUAUUUAUUCUGAAGUUGCAAUUGAAAGAAACGUUUAUAGCACGUUUUGCAGGAAUAUUAUUAAUAAUUUAACUAUGUAACAUUCUCAAAAGGCAGUCUAAGAAGAUGUAUACUUCCAACCUUGGAUUUUGUCACAAUUAUUCAUGGCCCGGCCUCCACAUGAAAUUCUAAUAGAUGUUCAAUAAUUCAAACGGAAAUGUGCAAUAGAAUAUGUCAACCCUUCAAUGUGAGGAUGGUUUGGCUAAAAUUUUAGCUUAAAUUAAGAUUUUAGAGAAUAUAACAUCAUAAUUUUUUUUCAUGUUUGUCGUAAGGAAGAUAUAAAAAGGGCCUUAUCACGUUUGUGAUAUAAAUUUUCUAAUUUAAUUUGAUAAUUUCUUUUUUCUCAUGAAAAAAAAUUUCCUCAGAAUGAAUGCAAGUUGGUUUUUGAGAUAACAAUACGUUGGCUAGAUGUGUAAUAUAUGAAAAAUUAGAAAAUAAAAUAUUUAACAAAUUUUCUCCUGUUAAUUCAACAUUUCUCAAUAUUUUUAUAAAAUUAAAAUUAUUAUUUUUAAAAUAUUAUUUAUAAAUCAAUUUAAAAUAUUUAAUAUUAUUAUUCUAUAACAAAAUAACCUAUUAAUUUUUCUUUUUAACUUUUUAAUACCUAAUAAAAAUAAAAUAUUAAAUCAACAAACUACUUAAUACUAUUUAAUUAUAAAGUCUAUUUAAAAUUAAAUUCGAAAAAAAAAAAGAAAAUACCAUCUUAAUCAUUUCGAAUCAAUUCUCCAAAUUAGAUUUUGAGGGCUUAAUUUUUUAACAUAGCAUCAUUUGAAAUUUUGAAUCGAUACAACUUUUAUAAUAAAUAAGUUUUUGGCUAAAAAGAGUAUAUAUAAAAAUAAUUUAAUUUCACACCGUCUAUGUAUCUUUGUAAAAAGUUACUUUAUAAAAGUAUUUGAUUCUUAACUUAAUUUUUAGAAAAAGCUCCUUAAUCACGAAUCUCUCAUUUUUUAUAUAUUUAAUAAAUUUGUUUUAUAAAAUUUCUUGAAUUGUUUGAAACAUAUGCUAUAUGAUUUCAAUGAUAUUUAAAGUAAAACCUUGAUCAACUAACUUUCUAGAAGACAUAAAUUUUUUAGAAAUCUAGAACUUUAGGUGUAGCAAUAACAAAGAUAUUUAAGUGGCAUACAAGUCAGAUUGUUUUUGAGGAGUUUCAAACUUCAAAUCAUAACCGGUCCAAAUGUUAUACAUUUGAGCAGGAAACAGAAAGACUGUCACUAAUUUGGGGUGUUAGUUUAGCCAAAUUAAGCUAGGGCCAUAAGAUGUUUGGGACCACCUCGAUUUUAAGUCAUUUUGCCAACAACUAUGGAGGCAUUAACAACUAACUAGGCAGGCCGGACCCUUAUCCAUUUCUAUAAAAGACAUCAUCUGUAUGGCUACCGACCUAAAUUUAUUGCAUGCCAAAUGAACAAAUUUCAUACCCAAUAAUCACAUGUAACUUCUAAUUAGCUGGGUGUAAUUGUUUUGUCAUUAAAAUUGCUGUCCCGGUCCCAUCACAUGGUGCGAAUACAUCGUGAUUUGUUAACUUAAUUGGAAAUAUUACAAUCCAAACAACUAAGAUUGUGGGUAUUAAUGGAAAAUCCAAUAUUGCAAUGUUGAUGGUUGCAACUUGCAGCUUGGAUCUUAUACUUAUAGUCUCACACUUGUUUCACACGUAGUCGAUAUGAUCAUGAAUAACGGGGUCCAUCCCCUAGGGCCCCGUGAUAACAACAGAGCACCUAAAAAUUAAAAUGGUGUGCAUGUAGCCGCCGCCAGGAAAACCAUGCCAGUGUUCGGAAUAAUUUUGGCUUUUGUGUCUUUCAAGCUAGCCGCUUCUCCAGAGAGAUGGAAGCACGGUAUCGAUCGAAUCAAGUGGAUCAGGGCCCGGAGUUUUAAAUGGCGCACACCGAUGUUUUGAGCCAUCUAAAACCAUGAGCAUUAUUGAUUCCUUGAGUUAUUUAGAAAAUGGGGAUGUGCUUUCAGCAUAUACAAACUCACCUGUGACUAUCUUACUCUUAAAGCAAAUAAUCACGGACGAGUGCUAACCCUAGGAUCGUUAUCUUCACAUGCAAGGAUUACCUACUUGUUAUUCCCCCUGUCCCUUGACUUUGGGUUUUAUAUUUUUGGACGAUCAGAAAGAAGGAGACACCUACCCUUGAUAACCACGUCAUCAGACACAACCUGGCGAAAACUGCCACGCGUUUGACACUAAAAGUGGUCAAUUAAUCAACGCGGCACGAUUUCAAUGUUUCUUCCAUCACCCCCUUUUGGCCAGCGCCACACGCGCACGCCAUGACGACACUACCUUUCUAUGACUAUAAGUAUCGCAACAAUCGAACUCUUCCUUCACACUCAUUCCUCACCAAUCCAGCUUUUCACACUCUCUGCAUCACCUUCACCCCACUACUUUACCUUCUCAAUGACUUCUACUUACCAUUUCUCCAUCUUUGUUUCACUUCUCCUACUCUCCUUCCUUCUCAACCCCACCUCCGCCACACCUCGAAAACUCUUCUCUCUUGUUCAAGAGCAACCUCUCAUUCUCAAGUACCACAACGGGCCACUCCUUAAGGGCAACAUCACCCUCAAUCUCGUUUGGUACGGAAACUUCUCCCCCAUCCAACGCUCCAUACUCGUCGACUUCCUCCAGUCUCUCAAUUCCCACACCACCACGCCCCACUCCGUCUCAUCGUGGUGGCAGACCAUCCAGAAGUACAAAGGAGUCUCCUGCACCCUCGCCGUUGGGAAUCAGAUCCUCGAUGAAGACUACUCUCUAGGGAAGUCAUUGCGAAGUUCAGACAUCAUUUCCUUGGCUUCUAGAUCAAACCAAAGGAGCGAAAUAACCGUGGUGUUCACGUCGGCAGACGUGGCGGUAGAAGGGUUCUGCAUGAGCCGGUGCGGGACUCACGGGUCAACUCAGAGUAAGUGGGCCUACGCGUGGGUGGGUAACUCGGAGACUCAGUGUCCGGGUCAGUGCGCAUGGCCAUUUCACCAGCCCAUGUAUGGACCACAGACUCCGCCGCUGGUGUCUCCAAACGGGGACGUGGGAAUUGACGGAAUGCUGAUCAAUUUAGCGACUGUUUUGGCGGGAACGGUGACUAAUCCGUUUGAUAACGGCUACUUUCAAGGGUCGGCUAGCGCGCCGUUAGAGGCGGUGACGGCUUGUACAGGUAUAUUCGGGACAGGAGCUUAUCCAGGAUAUCCCGGCGAAGUUCUGGCGGAUGGAACGACUGGGGCUAGCUAUAAUGCUGUUGGGGUGGAUGGGCGUAAAUACUUAUUGCCGGCGAUGUGGGACCCUCAAACCUCCACCUGCAAGACAUUAGUCUGAAGCCUGAACCUAAUGGAUGAUUUGUGUUCUGUGUGGUACCAGCAAUUGUUUGUUUGGAGGAGCUUUGUACUCCCAGCUUUGAAGUUUGUUCUUUUUUUUCAUCAACCUUAUCAUAUGUAAAUGUUUAUGUAUCAUUAAUUAAAUUUGUUUCAUUAGUCAACCAAUCCUCUGUCUCCUUUGCCUUCUAAAAAGUUUCAAAUUUUUUCUAACAAUUUUGGGUCAUUAGGUUUAGGUGGAAGUUUCAAGUUGACUAACCAGUUAGCUUCUGGAUUUAACUUAACCCCAUAUUAAGCUGAGGAACCAAUCUGGUUUUAGCACAUGUGCAUUGAUUGGUAUUCUUUAUAAUGGAAUGUAACUGCUUUCUUUUUUACCCCAUGAGAAGAUUUCACCAUAUUGUCCUCCAUUCUUGCACACAACCGUAUCAUCUGACUGAAUUUUCUAUGAAAUAAUAAUUAUUUUGGUUUUUUUUUUUCAUUUUUCUUUUUUCUAACACAUAUAAAGUAAAAAAAGAAAAAAUUAUUAUUAAAAUAAAUUACAAAAUUUAUUUAUAAAUUAUAUUUAUUUUCAAUAGAAUUAAAUUAAAAAAAUUAAAGAGAUAGGACGAAACCGGAAAUUCUCAUAUUUGUUUCAUUCGAAUCUUUUUAGGGAUAGAGUAACAAUUCUGUUGUCGCCUCGCGUAUCCGGUGGUCCACGUUGCUGCUAUAUGGAUGGACACGUGAUUCUCAACACACAAGGGGUUCUUGAUUUAGUGGUUGCACCUGCAAAAGGCAUCCGGACAGGGUGUCCGGACGCACCCUCCGAUGGUAUUGUUAGCCAUGGUUAUUUUAAUUGACCAUCCAGACGAUUUAUAUCCGGAUGGCUCAUGCUGAUCAUCCAGAUGUGUUGUGGAGACCAUCCGGAUGUCUACGCUCUGCCUGCGUCGUUUGCUCUUCCUUGGAUAGGGCUUGGCUUUCCUUGAGGUGGUCCGGAUAGGAUAACUGCACCAUGCAUACCUUUAGGGGAAUCCGGAUGAUGAUGGUCCGGAUGAUAAUAUGUGCCACGCGUCACCAUGAACUACGUGCCACGUGUUUCUCAAGGGGAGGGGUCCCUACAUUGCCCCCCUUUUUAACUUGCCUAUUUUGCCCGAAAAAAUGGGCGGGUUAAAAAUAACUGGCUUUUGAAAUUUGAAGAGGUCCCUUCGUUUGACUAGGCCACGUGGCGAGUGGCGGUGCGGAAGCCAAAAAAGGCAUUUAUGACGAGCCGCCGACCCUGUGUAUCCCCAGACAAUAUGUCGUUUCAAUGAUAUCAUGGCUGUUGGUUUGCCUUUCCGAGGGGCUGUCCUGCUAUAAAUAGGGCACUGUACCUCUUUUUGCAAUUUUUCCUACUGCAUUCUCUUGAGAGCCUUUCUUCUUACUGCUUUUUCUGCGCCCUUUGCUUCUCUGAGACAAACUUCGAAAGCUCUUUUGCACCGGUGUUUUUGUAUCGCGACUUUGUCUGUUUGCUGCUGGUGAUUUUGUAUCGAGGUAGUAACCGUUCUUCUUCUUCGGAGCUUUAUUUGGUACGUACGUCUUUGCUACUGUCACUCCUUUGGUUGCGUUUGCUGGUUCUUUAAUCUUGGUUUUUGGCUUGCUUGGGCAUUGUUUUGGACAGGUCGCUUGCAAUUGUUGUUGAAUGUUGGUAUUUUGCUGAUGUUCGGGGGUGUUUUGAGGGGUUUUUCUGACUGCUUUGGGUUAGGGUUUGUGUAUUUUCUAACUGCUUGGUUUGAACCGUUGCAUUGCUUUUGUAUGUAGGUUGUGGUUUAGCUUUGUGGUACGAAAUGGCUCCAAAAAAGACUGUUUCAUCUGUCCGGGUUAGCGAAGCUAGCGAAAAGGCGAUAGACAAAUUAAAUGCGAAGGAGUUCCGGGAGCGAUUCCGCAUCCCCCAUGACGUAUUGAUAGACUUGGUGAACGAGGAGGCGGCUAUGCCUACUGAGAAAGGUGGAAAAAACGUUAUCCUCUUCACAAAGGAACAAUUCAACGCGGGGCUCCGGUUCCCUCUGCCGGCGUUGUUCAAGGAAUUCCUCCACUUCUCUCAGAUUCCCCCCAUCUUUAUUCAUCCCAACCUUGUCCGGGUGCUGAUGGGAUGCAGCAUCAUCAACAUGCUGUACAGCCUCGACCUGACGCUACUGGAAGUGUUCUUUGUCUAUUCCCUGAAGAAAGCAAAGACUGAUAUCUUCAGUGUGUCCGCGCACCUGCCCUCCCUUCAAAUGGUAACAGAGCUGUCAGAUUCAACAAAGGGAGGGGCGAGGGGGCUGGUGGCAGUCCGGGGUGGAUGGGCGGGGCUAUCGCAGCAUCCGUCGAGGCCUUUUUCUCCAAAUUAUACCUUAAAAAUUCCGGGUAAUCUUGUUUUGCGAUUUUUUUGUCCGGAUUUUGCUUUGCUGACUUUUUGAUUUUUCCGGACGGAAUUCUCACCUUUUGUUGCUGUUAAUGCAGGUCUGGAAUUGAGGGGCCACCUUGUGGAUUGGGUGGAAAAGGCGUCCUUUGCCUGCGUCUGCAAAUUAUUCGAAAUAGAUCCCAAGGAGAGGGCCUACAAAACAUUGCUCUCCGCGCAGAAUUUGAUAGAGGUCGUCCGGGAGCCCCAGGAAUAUGUUAUCAAUAUUCUUCCUAGGAAACUGGCAAAGGAUGAGAUAGUGCAUGGGGAGCAUUAUACAGUGAAGGAGCUCCCCCUCUAUCAGGAAGCUAAAGAGGCUGACGCUGAAAGGCGGCGAAAGCUCCUGGAGGAUAGAGAUCAGAAAAAAUCUGAAGGCACUAUCCGGAAGGCUCCCGGACAGAAGGGGGGGCCGGACCCUCCUUCAAAGAAAAUUCCAGGCAAGAGGGGGAAGCUUGUGAAGAAGCAUGGGAAGGAUGUGAAGGAACCCACUCCUCCCAAGGAGUUUCCUUCUCCACAAACUACCUAUGAGGGGGAAGUAAUGAUAGAGGAGCCAGUAAAUGCUGCUCCGCACUCUAUCUCAAGCGGCCCCGGACGCAUGUCGGGGUUAAAUCAUUCGGGUCCUUCCUUAGUCGCGGCUGCGCGUCUGGCUAACGUGGCUGAGGAAGCUGCAUCUAUCAACCAUCCGGGCAACCUUAAUCCGGAUGCUGAUGCAGCUGAAACGACCCCGUUGGAGGAAGCGGGGGCAGAAAGCCAAAGUCAGCCUUCCGACGACCCGGAUCGCCUGGCCAUAGUCCUGGUGAAAGGGCCUCCUCUCAAGAAGCCGCGUUUGACGCGCGAUCUACAGUCCGGACUGUUUGAGCGGCUUCAAGAGCGGCAGCAAGAGAUUGAAAUUAGCUGCGCUUCUGCCCAUGACGCUCAUCCGGAUGGAGGCGAGGUGGAGAUGGCUACUGAGACCUCAGCCGCCCCGGCAAUAAUUCCGGAUGAGGAUGCAUCCGGACCUAUGCGUCCGAACGAAGAUAUGGGGGUUCCGAUUCCGGGACAAGAGUUACCUUCUGCUUCCUCCUCUGAGGAGGAAUCUGCUGACGAUGCCGCUCCUACUAGCCCUUUCAGCUACGCGGAGUUGGAAGUUAAGUUAAAGCAGAUUACUCCUGACUGGAAAGCCAUCAAGCCCUCUGCUAAGAUGUUUGAUAUGAUAGAAACGGUACACCGUUGUCUUGUGUUUUUGCUUUUUGACUUUUUGUUGCACUGGUGUGUUUGUUGUAGUAUAAUUUAUGUUUCUGCUUUUCUUGUUUGCGUGUCAGCUGGUGAGGGGCCUCCGCAGCAUGUCUCAACAACACGAUCUUUUUACUCAGUUGCUGCAGACUGCAGACUAUAUGAGGACCUUCUCCUCUCGGCGCCAAGAGAUUGAAAAUCAGCUGCGUCUGAGAAUGGAGGAGGCUGAGGCCAAUUUAUCCACCAUGCGAGAGGAAAAUGAAGCCCUCCGAGCGGAGCUGGCUGAGGCGAAGAGUCGCGAAGAAUCAACUGCGGGUCGCCUAUAUGAGGUGGAGGGUGAGGCAGCCCGGCUGAGGGAUGAAGUGAGUCAACUCCGGACCGAGGUAUCGAAUGAAAAGAAACAGAAGGAAGACUUGCAGCUGCGCCUGGAUGUGCAAAAAGAGGAACUUGAACGGGAGUUUGCUGUGGAAAGGGAGGAACUUGCAGCGGACUACCAGCAGCAAGUGGAUGAUACGUUUAUCUUUGGGUAUCGCUGCUGCAUGAAGAAGAACGGCAUUAAGCGAGAUACCCCUUCAAUUCCUCCGGGUGAAGAAAAGAAGCUAUAUGAGAAGCCCGCUCCCUGAUAGUUAUCUCUUUUUGCAAUUUUUCUGCUGUAAUUUUUCCUUCUGUCUUUUUGUGGUCCGGAGAUCUCUUUGUAAUUACAUUUAUUUAUAUCAAUAAAAAUAUAUUUCUUUCUCAUUUGCACUUGUGUAUACUUUUUACUGAUAGUACUGCUUUAAAUUGGACACAUUCCAUGGUCUGAGUAACGGAGUGCCAUCUAGCUUUUGUAAAUGAUAGGCUCCAUUUUCGUUUGCCUUAGACACUAUGUAGGGUCCUUCCCAAUUGGCUUGGAACUUUCCCGCGCCUACUUCAGCAGUAUUUUCAAAAACUUUUCUAAGUACUAGCGUACCAUUUUUGAAGUUUCGGGGCUUGACUUUUCGAUUGUAAUGCGCUGAUGCCCUUUGUUGAUAAUCUGCCAUCCGGAUGGACGCGCUUUCUCUGACUUCGUCAGCCCAGUCCAAAUUUCUUCCUAGUUCCGUGUUGGCGUCUUUUUGCUUUGCUGCAUCAGUCCGGAUAGUAGGAAGACCUAUUUCAGUGGGAAUGACUGCAUCCAUUCCAUAUGUGAGGGCAAAAGGAGUAUUUCCUGUUGGUCGUCCGGAUGUGGUUCGAUAGGCCCACAGGACGCCGGGUAGUUCCUCCACCCACUUCCCUUUGGCUUGCUCCAGCCUUUUCUUUAAGGCAUUGAUUAGAGUUUUGUUUGUGGCUUCCGCCUGGCCAUUGCUUUGAGGAUAACGUGGCGUGGAGUAUGAAUUCCGGAUAUUCAAUUCCGAACAGAAAUUCCUGAAUGCAAUGCUGUCAAAUUGUGGACCAUUGUCAGCUAUGAUGAUUUGGGGAAUUCCAAAGCGGCAAACAAUGUUCUUCCAUACGAAUUUGGUGACAUCUUUAUCUUUGAUGCUUGCAUAUGCUUCAACUUCUACCCAUUUACUGAAGUAAUCAGUGGCGACAAGGAGGAAUUUCUUCUGGGCAGGUGCUGCUGGGAGGGGUCCCACAAUGUCCAUGCCCCAUUGCGCGAAAGGCCAUGGGCCUGAGACCGAUUUUAAUGCGGCUGAUGGCAUGCGUGGAAUGGGAGCGUAUCUUUGACAUUUAUCGCACUUUUGGACAUAUGCUGCCGCGUUUUUCUUCAUUGUUGGCUAAUAGUACCCUUGUGAAUGAGCUCUAUGUGCUAGGGAUCGUCCUCCCGUAUGAUUUCCGCAUAUUCCUUCAUGUAAUUCAGCUAGUACAUACUGGGCCUCUGAAUGCCCAAGACAGCGAAGAUAAGGUCCUGUGAAGGAUCGCUUGUACAGGUGCCCCCCGAUCAGGGUGAAACGGGCAGCUUGCACCCGGAUUUUGUGCGCUUGUUUAGGAUCUUCAGGUAAAGUGCCUGUCCGGAGAUAUUCUACAAUAUCAUGCGUCCAUUCUUGAUGAUCCGUUUGGUUUGCCUCAAUGGUGUUGCAAGUAGAAUCUUCUGUGACAGAGGGAUUGGCUUGCACAUGUAUGGGCAGUAGAAUGGCUUCUUUGAUAGGGAGGGAGGCAGCUA
RNAcentral lists this long non-coding RNA (84015 nucleotides) under Vitis vinifera (wine grape). Its description in RNAcentral is "long non-coding RNA (VVIN_LNC005935)". The record is from RNAcentral. Lineage: Eukaryota; Viridiplantae; Streptophyta; Magnoliopsida; Vitales; Vitaceae.